AACUUAAUCAGGUACUAGUGGGCCAGCCCAAUAACGGCCUGCUUAAUAAAGGCCCAUUUACGGCCCGAAGCCAGAUCUGGCCCGUUAAUUGUUCGCCCAAUAUUUGGGCCCAUUUACGGCCUGAAGCCAGAUUUGGCCCGUUAAUUGUUCGCCCAAUAUUUGGGCCCAUUUGCGGCCCGAAGCCAGAUCUGGCCCGUUAAUUGUUCGCCGAAUAUUUGGGCCCAACUACAGCCCAGUGACUUUCGGCUUGUUAGAGGCCUGAUGUAGACAUGGGCCCAUUUCAGCCCGGUGUGACUUUCGGCCUGGGAAUGGCCCGUGCUGCCCAUGGCCAUAUAUGGUCCGACGGGACAUCGGGCGCACUAACGGCCCGUGCUAAAGGUGGCAACAGUUAAGCCCAACGUGACUUUGGGCCUGUUAAAGGCCUGUCGCGUAAUUUGGUCAGUUGAUGCCUGUGCUAAGCUUUCGGCCUCUUAAAGGCCCAUGAUAUCAGUGGGCCAACUAAGGCCCGAGAUAUGUUUCAGCCUGGUAACGGCCUGUGAGCUAUCUGGGCCCAAAACGGCCCGGUCUACAUUUCGGCCUGCUGAAGGCCCGUUGACGACUAGUGAAAAUUGAGGCCCAACAUGCAUUUUGGCCUGCUAAAGGCCCAUGGUUUCAUCUCGGCCGUAACAGGCCAGUACAAUAUUCAGCCUGUUAAUGGCCCAACGCUACCUGGGCCAAACUAAGCGCUGGGUCGACAAAAGGCCCAACUAAAAUAUAGGCCGGUGUAAGUUUGGGCCUGGCGCAAUGUGUGAAGGCCCCAAUCAUUCGGGCCCAAGAAAGACGUAGGCCGGCCCAAUUGUGGCCCGCUAAAAACCUGGCCCGUUAGAGUCGAAUGUUUUGGUCCGGUCGACUACAUCUGAUUUUUUUUUCAGAUAGCGAAUGAUGGCAGUAACUAGUAGGAAUUAAGAACAAACCUACUCUAUACAAUAAAGAAAUUACGGCAUAGUAACUAAGAAUAAACCUACACUAUACAAUAAAGGAUUUUAGGUAUAUUACAUCCACUGGGCAUCGAAGUUCGCCACCAGUGAUCAUAAAGCGCAACGAAGAAGCAGAUUACAAAAACUGGGCACUAUUGCAGCGUAACAAAAUAAUACUGAACCGAGACCACUUCCAAGACAGUUCAAGAAAGGUUAGCCUUGCGGGGGAACUGCUGCGCAAGCUGCUGAGCAAGGCUGUGAGACCGGCCUAGCAUGUCGGUCAUAGCUUCCAGGUGUAGCUGUUUAGCGAUGAGGUUCUCAUUGGUGUUCUCCGCAAUCUUUCUUAGAGAUAGGAAUUCAAGUCGAAGAUGAGUUGCAGAAUGCCUUUCUGCUAGAACUUGGGACUGAAGAAGUGGAACUGAUUCAGACAACGAAUUCUGUGAGCUUGUCUGACUGUUAGUCUCAAGUAACUUGAACACUGCAUCAAGACAAGACUUUGGGGUUGUCUCGCUAUCUUCAAGAUGUGUUGCCUUCUUUGCUGCAAUAUAUAUUGGGUUUGUCUCACAGCCUUCAGCAGACUUGUGCAUGCCAUCAGGCAUAUCACCCUGAAACAAAGCAGAGAGAUGACAGGUUUUGCACGUGUAUAAACAAAGAUGAUAACGGUUCUGUCAAUUCUAUCCAAUUUCAAAUUAGAAAAUAAAGAGUAAGUUCAAAAUAUCAAUAGCAUAAUUUGGCAUUGUUCAUAAUGCGGGGAGCUUCACCACACUACUGGAUUACCAUGUCAACAUAACAAGCAUAGAUGAAGGGCAAAGAAAAUCAUUGUAUCUAUUUUGGAUAAUGUGCAUGGCAUGUUGUUCAUAUCAUCAGCCACAUCAGUAAGAUAAAACAGGAGAUGACAAGGUGCAAACGUGGGCUGCUUCACCACACACUGGAUUAUAGAUCCACAAAAACAAGCAUACAUAUAGGGAGUAUUAAGUAAUGUGCAUGGUAUGAAUAAGGAAUUUAGUUUUACAAGUAAAACUUAGAACUUACGGUUCUUACGAACAUGCAUUUUGGUAGAAACAACAAACUAAACAGUAGUAAACGAUAGGGAGUAUGAGCAAAUUAAACAGCAGUUGAGGAUAAAGGCUUUAGAAGGACUGACUUACAUUAACAGUUAACACCGGCUUUACAAUGCCCUUCUCCAUGUCAAGGGAAGGAUAACUCAAGAAUUUCAGCACAUAAUCUUCUUCAUAAGCAUUGCCUGUACUCUACAUUUUGUAGAGAGUAAUUAUAGAUAUGAUAAUACUGGAAGGGAUAGAGGAUAAUGAAGAUAAGAUGCAGAUUGAUGCUACAUAAUCAACUACCAAUCCCUGGAAGUACAAGCGUUACAGGACAAAAUGUACUGACAAGAGCAAUGGGCUACACUUCUGCACUGGCAUUGUCUGUGUAUCCUACUUGUUCGUAAGAUUAAAUAUAGAUCUGAUCUUUUUUAGUAAAUGGUGGGUGAGGGAGAUAAGAUGCAGAAUGCUACAAAAUGAACCAAUCCCUCUUCCCAUAAUACAGGAGUGUUUUGAACACUGGUGUACUGUACAAAACGUUCUUAUAUUAUGGGACGGAGGGAGUAGUUGUUAAUGUAAGUACAGUGAUAGACCACGUUCAGUCCUUACAAGAGGACUGUAGAGCUAAACCUCUUCAAAAGCAUUGGGUUGAUUCUAAAUUUAUGUAAGAGUCCAUACAGAUCUUAUAAUGUCCACCAAAUGGACGAUUACGAGGCUAACAUGUGCAGUGAUGCUACAUAAUCAAACAACUAUGAAAGUAAGUAUGGUCAUACAGGGCAAGAGGUACUCACAAGAGCAAUGCAGUGUGCAGUAUAGUUGCGAGAUUUUGUGGUCCCUUGAGAACGAAUGUUGUUCUGCUAACAGUUUUCGUACAAGUGAGACAUUAAGGCAAAUGCAGAAAUGUAGUUCAAAUUGUGAUGUGAUAUCAUAGACAGUACCUUAUGCAGCAGCUGAGACCAAUGUGUAACAAGAUUAUUCCAGUCACCGUCGGAUAAAUGUAGCACUGGAGACUUUACAGAAAUUUCGUUCAGAGGCUUGCCAUCGAAGUGCGCUUGCCUCAGGUAGGAACGAUACUUCAUCAACGAGUUCUUGAAAAGCUCAACCAACCCUUGCUCGUCAUCACAAUCCAGUUUGCUCCUCGCCUAUUUAAAAGAAUGAAAUCUUGUGUCUUUUGUCAGCAGAAACAUAUGCAGUAAUGACCAUGAAUAACAUUAGUACAUUACUUACGCGUAAGUUGCGGAGGAAGACAGGAAAUUGUUCUGUGUCUGCGGUAUAAUCUUCCCAUGAAGGAAAGAUGCGCACAAAGUUCCCGACAACAACAUAAGCUUCGUCUUCUAAACUGGGAAGAAAUGGAACAGGGGUCCUAUUUGCUGCAAUUGGGGCUCUCUCUGGUUCAAAAAGGGAUUUGGCAACUGGAUUUGGUGUACUCUUUGCUGGAAUGGGGGUUUUGCAUCGUACAGCUGGUGCUAUGUCAACUCGCAUAAUCAUACUGUUUGCUGCAGUUGGGGUCUGCUGAGUUGGGGCAUCAGAAAUGACCAGUGUAGUAGGGCUAGAGUCUGCUAGAGUUGGGGUAUUUGUGGGUCAGGUGAUAUUGCAACUACACCUAAUGGGCUAUUUGAUUUAUCAGGUGCCACUACUUUUUCCAAAUACUUUGCUUGUGCUCCUCCACGAUCAGCAAUCGCCCUCUUCCUUUUGAACAUCUGAUACACAAGAACAACAUUUGAAUGGAUAAAUAUGGUAUGAUGACAGAUGGAAUAUGUACUGAAAAUGGAUAGGCAGGGCGUAUUCACAUACACGAUGUGUAAACUAAGCUAAUGGCAGUUCAACAAAGUAGAAGCAAUGCAAAGCAUCAGUUGCAAGAUAUGUGCGAGCAAUGUAACCUUGGAAAGUUAGAGCAAGUACCUUGAUGGGUGAAUAAGAUAGGGCAUCUUCCUCUGACUCCUCCACUAGGGAGCUACAUUGACUUAGGUCUCCCUCUAGCUCAGAAUCACUGUUAGGAUCAUAUUCUGAGCAUGAAUCUGUAGGUGGAGAGCGUUUGCAUUGCAUUGCAUCCAGACUUGAUUUCAGUCCCUUAAUGCCAAGUUUGACAGCCAUGGCAUUGUUCUGCUUUAUUCUUUUCAUGCGCGCAAGCUCAUAAUCAUUAUGAUGCUGUUCAGAAUCUGAGAUUCAUGAAAACAUAAAAAGUAGUCAGAUUAUCUAUGGAAUGCAUUGCGGAUUCAACUUGGAGAGUGUCUCCCUAUAAACCCCUGCAUAUGCAAAGUUCACCUCCCCAACCGUGCUGACCAGACCACACACAGAAAUACAAACCCCUUAUGUCUCUAUAACAGGCAGGCACACAUUUCAAAACUGAAGUAGGAACAUUAGAAUCAUAUGAAAUUAGUAUUUGAACAAAUAAACUAAGCAAUUAUGAGUGGCAUAAUGUUUAGCUUCAAGGGUGGAGUGUUGGUAGCGCGACACAAAGCAAGUAGGCAGAUUGUAUUCCAUGUAAAAGAUCAAAACCUAUGUAAAAGCUGGAAAUGACACUUUCUUUCUAUACAAUGCAGUGUUCGUUACCCACACAUGAUGGAAGAGAUCACAUAGAGAAAUACUAUUCACUCAUGUCUACGGUUCCAGUAUUUAGAAACGGGGUGGUCCAACCUAAUAGAAUAUUGACAACAAAUAUGACAAGGCAAGCAUAUAUGUAGUGAAUCAAUCAUUUACUUGUGAGCUUACUAGGACAAGUAUGCAUAAUUGUAACUGCAGUAAGAGACCGUCCAAAAUCUGAAUGAAGAAGUUUGUCUAGAACUUAUUGUUUGCAACUAAUCGACGUGAAUAAUUGGAUAUUAUAUCGAAUGAGUAAGAAAGACAAGUAAAAUUGUCAACAAACCUGGCUUGCAGUAGUAAUCUGGGUCAAUGUCACUACGACCAACAAUCCAAAAUGACUAGUUUCUGUUCUGAGGGCCGGAAUUUUGAAAACCCUGUGAACUUUAGAGGUACUAAAGAUUACCGAAAUACAUCUGAACCAUUAAGUGUAGGUAGCACUGAGCACACAACAAACCCUAAUGACAGUCCUGCCAAAUGAGUAAUGAAUCAAUUAGAAAAUGGGUGAUGAGGAGUGGCUGCUGAGUGUUGAGGAUGUAUCUCGGGAUAAAUCAGGUUGGCUUGGUGCGUGCUGCACGCCUGAGCCCUGAACGGACCGGGAAGGUAGGCACGGCGGCGCGCCCGGGCAGCGGUGACGCUGUUGGGCGAGCGGCUCCUGGCCUCCUGUUAGUCCGGCGUCUCCUCCUAGAGUCAUGCCGUCCGGGGACGGCAAGUCGCCGGCGAGGCAGGCGGCUGGGGGCGAGUAGAGAUCGGAAGCGCGCAGUAGAACAGAGGGGAAUCGGGGCCUAGGACGACCCAAAAUCCCAGGGUGGGCCGGCCCACCGUGGGCACCCUGUAGAGAUACACACCCGAGCGGCGAACAUGCAUUUUCGAAACUAAUUUAGGAACAUUUAGCUGACCAAUUAAACAACUUUGUUUAGCUUGAUGGGUGGAGCAGUGUUAUUAUGACACGAAGCACGUAUUAUGAUCGUAUAGUGAUCAUAAAAGGGGGAAACUCUAAGCAUAUUUUUUUAGCAAAAGAGGGUUUCCCCUCCGAUUUCUAUUAAAGAAACCACCACGGAACCAACAUGAUCAAUUAAACCCUAAGCAUGAUCAAUUAAACCGUAUUAUGGCUGUGCCAUGGGAGAUUUGAAGCUGCAAACCGGAGAAAUGAUAUUUAGCAUCCAUUGUUUGCUUCGAACUAAGAACUAAAUUCUAAGAGCUGAAAAGAAAGUAGAGUAACCAAGUUAAGAUCUAUUUUCUGGUUGAGAUCAAAAAGUUGAGGAGAUAUGAAGUACCACCUCUCUUGCGGCGCAGUGUAGGCAUCGGGGGUGCGAUGGCUGUCGGUGGCGUUGAAGCAGAUCUGUGACGGUAGACGGGUGCAUCGGGGGAUAAGUCCCGUUGCGGUGGAAGAAAAGGUCGUGUGAGCGGCCCCGACAAAGAGGACGACGGCGCCGAUGAAGCGAGAGGACGCGAUGCAAAUCUAUUGGCCCGUCGCCGUGGAUGAGAAACGUCCAUCUCUAGCAGUGGACGACACGGUCUUGGUAGGCGCUCCGGCAUGGUGGAGGACGGUGGCGAUGGAUGUGGUGGAGGACGGCGGCGAUGGAUGGGGUGGCGGACGGAGGCUGGUGUGGGGAUGGGGUGUUCUAGCGCGGACGGUGUAUGAAUGGGAAAAUGGAGGUAAAGGUACAGGGAACCAUGUUUUUGGGACGCGCCUGUCUGAAAUAUGGGAAAGUUACGAACUUAGCCCCCGUUUAAAAUUUGGACGUCUCGUCGGUUGGGGAUAGGAUGGUAAUCUCGCAUCUCGCCAAUAUUUGCCCAGAGCGAUUUCGGGCGAGGAGAGGGUGGUUGGCGCCCAUGGUUGGCGCCCAUGGUGUAUGAACGGGGCUGACAGGUAGGGCGGUUGUGUCAUGUCUGAGUGAAGUUACAAACCUGCGCCUAUUGAAAAUAUUUGCCUACAUCGAUUUCGGCCGAGUCGAGUUUGUUUUCACUAGUAGAAAACAGGGCUUUGGUCACAGGGUAGUAUGCACAUUAGUCCCGGUUCAGUCACGAAUCGGGACUAAUGUGAGCAUUGGUCCCGGUUCGUGCGGCUAAGGCAUUAGUUCCGGUUCACCUGGGCCCUUUAGUCCCAGUUGGUGCCACGAACCGGGACUAAAGGGUGCGAUGCCCAUUAGUACCGGUUGGUGGCACCAACCGGGACUAAAGGUUAGACCUUUAGUCCCGGUUGGUGCCACCAACCGGUACUAAUGGGCUUUGAGGCAUUAGUACCGGUUCAUGGCACGAACCGGUACUAAAGGUCCCAUUUUCAAACUCUACCCCCCCCGUGGACCGCCUUUUCAGUUUUAGAAAAAACAAAAGAAAAUGAUAGAAAUGUCAAAAAAAUAAAAUAAAAUAAGUUUCCCAUGUGAUAUGUGGUCUAGUUGUUGGGAAAAUUUACAAAUAUGAAUUUCGACUUUAUUUGCAAAAUCUCUCUGGAAUUUGUAAAAUGGGCAUAACUUUUGCAGACGAACUCGGAUUAAAAAGUUUUUUAUAUGAAAACUCAUCUACUCGAAAAGUUACAUCCGAAUUUAACUGGGGGAACCCCGUUAAACAUUUUCAAAAUCCUCAAAAACCUAACAGAAAAAGUUACGGGGCUUUUAAGAUCUAGAGUGGAAAAAAUCGAAAAAAUUUCAAACUUAGUAGUGGCGCACCAUUUGCUAGGUGCAGCACUAGUAAUAGAAAAAAAAUAUAGUUUAAAAUUUUAUUUUGAAAAAAAUGUGGUCAAAUCUGGUCAAACUGUGGUCAAACAAUGGUCAAACUAAUUAUUCUGGAAUAUUAGUGUUACUAAAGAAGUAUUUCAGUUUUUUUGAAUUUUGGUCAAAUCUGGUCAAACUAUGGUCAAACUGUGGUCAAACAAUGGUCAAACUAAUUAUUCAAGAAAUAUUAGUGUUACUAAAUAAUUAUUGUUUUUUAAAACAAUAAUUUCAAACUCAAACAGUGAAAUGUGUCACUUCAUGCUCAAGCUAAAUUCCUGAGGGUUAAUAGGAUUGACAUCUUACUAUUGUCAGGAAAACAACAAGUGCAGACUUGGAAACGAGGGAGAACAGAACCCGGAAGUUAAGCGUGCUCAGGCUGGAGUAGUGAGAGGAUGGGUGACCGUCCGGGAAGUUAGAUGAUUUGGAAUAAUGAGGGGUGAUUAGAGAUUAGAGGAUAAAUUGAGCAGUGAUGAGGGGUGGUGAUUAGAGAUUAGAGGUUAAAAUAAUUCAGAAAUUUGAAAAUCAAAUUUUUUUUUCAAAAAAAUAAUCAUAAAAUUUCCUUUAGUCCCGGUUGGUGUUAGGUGGAGCUCCACGUGGCCGCGGCCUUUAGUCCCGGUUCGUGUAAGAACCGGGACUAAAGGGGGGAGGUAUUAGUAACGACCCUUUAGUCCCGGUUCAAAAACCGGGACUAAAGGGCCUUACUAACCGGGCCAAAAGCCCCUUUUUCUACUAGUGUUUGCCGCCCACCGUGUAUGAAUGGGGAAUGGAGGGAGAAACAAAGGUCUUUCGGACGAGCUGGAAUCAAAUGAGUUUUGCCGCCCAUGUUUGACGCCCACCGUGUCGGAAUGGGCCCAGAGGCGGUCGUGUCACGUGUAAUUGAAGUUACUAACCUACCCCUAUUUAGAGCAGUGGAAAUCGGGCCGAUGGAUUGUUCGUGUAAUGGGUAGACAGUAAUUUCCAUCUCCCAAACACUUGGCUUCGGGCAGCCGACGUGGGAGUGGACAUUUUGCUGCUUCUUUCGAAUUUUGGGACAAUAAGCAUCCACGUUUACCCUGGCAACUAAAUUCGAAUCCAUUUUGUAUUCCUAUAUGAAUCUUUAUAAAUCAUUCUAUGUGUUUUUAUAUAUCUUCAAAAGGACGACAAAGAUGUAUUCCACCGUCAUAUAUGAAUAUUGUUAACCAAUGCCGAUACUCAAAUUCAGAAACUAGAAUCCAGUUUAAGGUGAAUUCGAAUAUUUGGAACACUUCAUGUCCAACUCAAAUGUCACACGCAGCAUAAUGUGUACUCCCAUUUAAAUAUGUACACAAGCGAUGUAUCAAGAUUCAAAUACCAAGUCAAUCAACCAAGAAUGUACAGAACUAACAGACAUAUAAACACUUAUAGAGUAUAUGGAUCAAUAAUAUCAACUAACAUACAUAAGCCAGGCCGCUGUACUUUUUUGUGGCUACAACAGCAUCCUUUUUUAAGCCAGCAUCUUGGCCCUUUCCGAUGCGUGCCACUUAUGGUCCAUCUAUACUACUACUAUUGCUAAAUGCACAUUCAGCCCGAUUGGCAUAUUUGUAGGUCUGGCACAGCAAUCCAAAUGAAAUGUCUCCGAGUCUUAUCAAUUAAUACAGACUUGUGCUCAAAUAAAAUUACAAACCAAAAAACGAAAAAAAACAAUUAUUACAUGAUCUCUAAAACAAAUGGUUUGAUUGAUUACAUGAACAGACAACACAAAGGUUAUUCAACUAUGGAAAGAACAUUUCACCUAUGAUUUACCAAGUAGGAAUUUAAUUUCCUUUUUUCCUUCAGGACCUUAACAAUCUGGUCAGUCUCAGCUUGCUUCGUUUUGAAAUCCACGAAAUAUGUAAUGAUUGUCUUGAGUACUGCUUGUGAUUGUGCUGUUUGCUUCCUCAACAUGUCAACUUCAUCUCUAAGUGCAGAAGCAGAAUCUCUUUCUACCACUAGUUUAGCCUCUAGAGCAUCAGCAGUUGGCAAUUCAUAAUGCACGAUUGGGCCGGUGCCACUGCUGUGGGAUGAUGCAACGUCCAUGGGGACCUUGCUCUUUGAUCUUGGGCUAACCUGUUUUGCCAUUAAAGUUCCGACUGGAUUCAGAAAAGUUGAAGUUAGCAAAACAUCCCAACUGGGAGUUAUAACAGCAAACCAGUUAAACAAACAAGGAAUUAAAGGGUUUUAAUUGGAUGCUGAAAAGUAGUUAUUAACAUCAUUGUAACCCGCUGUUGCAGCAGCAAAUCAGUUAAACAAACAAGUAGAUAUUUAAGUUAAGGCAAACAGGUAAUUCUUAACAGUAAGUAUCAAACACAUAGAUAGGCGCAAUCUACAAUAUGAUUAACAGGCUGUGCCAUUAUGUAAUCAGUAGCAAACUAAAUUAAGCCAAGCAACGUAAUUGAACAAUUUUGCAAUAAGUGGCUAACUAAAAUUCCGAGAAGCAGGUAACUGAACUUAUGCUAGUUCUUUGUACAGGCACACUGCAACUUCUUUUUCGCUUACAAGGUUGUACGAAGGAGUCCAUGGCAUCAAUUGCUUGGAUACGCAGUCCCAAUACUUCUUUCUUCCCACACUGCAUGGGUAAGUCGAAUGGUUAAUCUGGUAAGAUGGUGCGUCCUUGAUAUGUUAUAUGAGGAUGUGUAGUCAGACUAGUUGUAGCCAAACACAUCACACUGGCUUUUACUGUAUAUUUCAUGCGAUUACUUUUGGCAUAUCGAGAUCUAAGCAAUCUACAAUAGGAUGAAAAGACUGGCAUCCUUCACAUUAUUGGCGAACUCAGUUCAUAGAAACAAGCAAUUCAACCAUUCUGUGGGUAAAUCAAAAGCGCCACUGGAAUAUUUUUCACUAUCCAAUCAUACACGCAAAAAGGGGCGACGCCACCAUAGGGGCUGGUAUGGGCGGCCGCCUCAGGUGGCUGGAAAGUGUGCACCUAGUUUGAGUCGUCCAGGUUGGCCCAUGCUAGUUUUGUUCGUCCCAACGCACGAGCAGGCAAUGUAAAAAAUGAAGAAAAAUGUUUCAAUUUGGAUGGGCCAAUAACAUAAGUGCAAGACAUGCCCUAUAGCAGGCUCGCGGCCCAAACGAGCGCCUCCCAUAUCGAUCGACAGCAGGAAAAAUCCCAAUUCAUUCGCUCCAGCCUCCAGUCUGGUUCGCUCCUAACCUAGCUGCCGCUGGACAGACCGACACAGCACUCACUCGCGCCCUCGUUGGAGGGCGGUCGCCGGGCUUCAAGCGAACGGAAGGACAAGAAGAUGAAGAUCCAACCCUGGGUGUAGCCUGCGUGGGAGGCAGCGGCGGCAGCACGGGCAUGGCAUCGAGCUUGCGCAAACGAACAGUCGCAGCUUGCAAGAGUAGCAUGAGCAACGAGCAGGUACAUCACAUCCCUGAUUAUAUCUAAUUCAACUCUUCAAUUUCUGGCCAAUAGUUAAACCUGACGGUGUCGUAAAACUGCUUGUAUGUAGGGAAUCUAUGAGAAAAUGAAACCAAUUUCUACUUAUUUUAUAACUCCCCCAAUCAAUACUGAACUGACUGAAUCUGAUGUAUCUAAUCAAGUUUCCGGUGCAAACAUACAAGCUCAUGUUGUUCUUGAGCCUGAAGUGUCUAAUGAACAGACUGCUAAUGAAGGAUUUGAUGCAAACAUUUUACAUGCUCCUGGUGAUGAACAUAUAGUGUCUAAUGAGGGAUCUAAUGCAAGCAUUUUGCAAGCUCAUUGAAGGAUUUAGUGUCUAAUGAUGAUCUACUAUGUUGGGAGAGACAGAGAUUUGCAGGCAUUGAUGACAAGCAAAUUAUAGUGAAUUUUCAUAGCUUGAGGAAACGUCGAGGCCAUCUACCAGAAAGUCCCCGUAUCAUGACAACAUAGCAUAAAUACUUUUCUAAUCUGUUGUUUGAAACUAUUGGCAUACUUGUGCAGGAUAGAUAUAUUGAUAUGCAGUUUGCGCACUGGUUAUACGUGCAAUUACACUUCGAUAUUUUCAGCCAGAGAACGAAUAAUUCAAGCAGGUACAGACCAUGUUUGUAGCCCUUGUACACCAUAUUGCAUUUUGUGUUUUUUGGUGCUUGCAUCAUUUAGUGUUUAUAAUCUGAACUACUUUGGAUCAUUAGCUGGUUUUCAAAGUGCAUGUAGCUUCACAUUUCUCAAGUUAUGUUGAUUUCGGGAGUGCAAGUGCCUUCGUAUUUUUUAAGUUAAAUGUUCGCCCCUGGUAACUUGAAUUCGUGGAUCAGCCACUGCACACAAAUCAUACAUGAAUGCCAGUACGAAUUAAAUGAAAUGCAGGGACUUACACUAGCUCGUUGUACAUGCUAACUGUAGCUCUGCUUGCGCUUGGGAUGUUCCAUGUAUAAGUCCAUGUUACCACUUGCUUGGAUGUGCAGGCCUUGUGCUCCUUGCAUCCCCCUCUGCAUUUUUGACACGGCGAAUGGUUGAUCAAAUAAGAGGAAUCGACCUUGAUGUUGUACCGGAGGACAGAUACUUACAAGGUUAUACGGGUGUGCAGGAUGUGUACCAGAUCCCGUAGCGCCGUCAUGCUUCGCUAAAAAAUGGAUUUGCCUAUUUCAGAUGAUAUCUCCAGAAGAAAUAAUAGUUAAAGUCAGAGUUGCAUAGGUGUGUAAGCUAAGAGAGCAGUGAAAGGAUAUCCAAACAUCAUCGGAAUAGUGCACAAGGGAGUGAUGUGUGGAUACCUAGUUCGGGCCGGCGUUUGGGCAUGCUCGCCUAGCUAGAGUGCGGGUCACUUCAGAGCCGUUGAGGGUGAUGCGCUGGCUGGCCGCGCACGGAUGCAGAUCUUGAGUGGCAGCAGAGCGCUACAAUGCGGUGGACGAGACCGUUGGUGAAGCCCCAACGGCCUCGGGGGGCGGAGGUGCGACGAUGUGCUCGGUGAAGUAGCCCCGGUGAGCUAGGAGACGGCGUCGGUGAAGCGCACCUGAUGUGGUGGAACUCGGUGUCUGUGAGGCACGUCGGUUGCGGCGGCCGACGUUGUCGGCGAACCACCCGGUGCGGUGGACGAGGGCGUAGAUGAGGUAGCUCCGGUGCGGUGGUGAAGCGCGACCGUCGUCUUCGUCGUCGUCGUCGUCCGGCACAGAGGUGGGGAACGGUGGGGAAAGAGACGAGACGAGGGGCGAUUCGAGGGUUGGCGGCAAAUUAGGGAUUUGAGCAAUCUGGGCGCGGAAGGGGACGGUGGAGAAGAGAGAUUUUGCAGGGCUGGAAUUGAGGCCGCCAGAUAUUUCAAUCCGAAACGUGGAAGCGCGAACUUAUAUUGUCGUCGUCCUAUUUUUUUGGCGGGGGGGAGGGGGGUGGGUGGCUGGGUGCUACGCGUCCGUCCGACACACGCGACCACCCCGACAGAACUAUGCUUCGGUGGCUUAAGACACCUGCCUUUGUGUCCAUGACAUGUGGGCCCAACAGGUGGCUGGCCCACAUGUUAGUGACCCAAAGGCAGUUGCCUUUAAGGCACCGAAGCAGCGUCCACCCCGACACGACCCUGGUCUGCCUGGUGCGCCUACAUUUGAGAAUGCAAACGAAUCUUCUUUCAUUUGCAAACGAAUCUGUAUGUAUUACCAUGCCCGUGUUUUCCUUGCAAUAAUUAGUCAUUCGAAACGAGAUACUCCAUCCGUUCACUUUUGUAAGUCGUUUCAGACAACUUAAAAUGAACUGUUUUGCACAUUGUCCGAAAUAUCUUCAAGGUCUUAUAAAAGUGAACAGAGGGAGUACUAUAAAUUAAUUAAUGAGGAGUUAUUUGAAAAAAAAUCGAAACGGUACCCACGCUAAUGUGGAUUAGAGUGUGUGUCACAUAAUUAGUUAUUUGAAUUAGAGUGUGUGUCACGUAGUUAGUUAUUUGAAUUAGAGUGUGUGUCACGUAGCGAUCUCCAAUUCUAACGUGGAUUUCGCAUUCCACUGUAUCCACGCUACUUUUUAAUACAAAUUUAUAUGUAUAUGAUGAACACCAUGGUAGUGAGAAAACUUUUGGAUGGAUUCAAACAUAUGACCUACAAAAUAGCACAACAAACUGAGUCAAUGUCAACUUUUCGAAACUUAGUAUGGCAUGAAUUCGAAAUAAUUACCCGUAUGCCUGGUCCUCGGUUCAAAUCUUACAAUGUACACCGAAUUGAAACAUCGAUAUUAAGUCUCGUACUAUGUACAUUCAGAUGUUGUUUUUAGCCCCCCCCCCGCACAAACGCUACAUACUUCCUGUAUCAGUCAAUCUUCCUCUCCUAACCACCUUAGGAAGCUAUCGGUUUCCAACACACAUUCAUUCUUUCUCUCCAUGUUUCGAUCUCUAAGUCUCUCAACUACACAACCCCUUUUUCCACUCUGUUACAAAUGUAUUUACCUCACACACCCGCCAUUGCACCCCAUGCUGAGCUCUCUCUCUCCCCUCUCCCUCUCACCCUCUCGCGCUAAAUACAUGCAUUGCCUAUCUAGCCCCCCAACCUCUCGUGCGCACGCACGCACGUUGUAUAUCUAGGUCACUCCCUCGAGACUGUCUCACUCUUUCUUCUGCACGGCGGGCCACACUCGCUCAAUCUCGCACUCUUUAUUUGAGUCUCGUUUCACCUCGUUUUCUUUCACACACAAAUGACAUAUCUCCCUGUUCGGGCCUCGAUCGACACACUCUAUACUCUCUCACACGGAUUGUCUAUCUAGGUCAGUCCAUCCAAGCCGCCGCCACUCUUUCGACCUCAUGGUGGGCCACGCUCACUCAAUCUCUAUCUCUCUCUCUCUCUCUCUCUCUCUCUCUCUCUCUCCGUAUGUCUCGAUUGACCUCGCUCUUUGUCGAACAAAAACGAUAUAUCACCAUGUUUGAGCCCAAUUCGACCUAUUCACAUUGUAUACUCUCUCACGCACAUCGUAUAUCUAGGUCACUCUCUCCAACCCGUCUCACUCUUUCGAUCGCACGGCGACCCUAUGUGAUCGGUUGACCUUGCUUCCUCCCACGCACAAAAUAUAUCUACAUGUCUGUGACUGGAUCAUCUCUCAAGCUCUAUCUUACAGCCCUCACCCUUGCCAAAAAGCUCAAUCGAACAAUAUCUCUCCAGAGCAUAUAUAUUUGUUCAAUGAAUGUCGGACCACACUCACUUUGUCUCUCUAUCUAUAUGUCUCUCGAUUGACCUCGCUUUCUCACACCGUAUCUUCCACGCGUUGAAGCUACUAACUCUCCAUCCCUCGCAAAGCCGGAGCUAUUUACAUUGCGAGGGGCACUCCAACCUUGGAUUAAUUUGUGUAGGCAUUUAUUCCGGUCGGUUUAGAUUAUAUUUUCGUAGCAUUCGGCCCACAACUACUCCAAACACCGUUGCAACCCACACAACUCCCCUAGUUGAUUUCCCUCUGGCUCGGUCAUCGCUCUCUCGCACGUCCUUUCUCACCUUCAACGUCGCACCAUGGUAUUAUUGAAAAAACUAUGUUGUUCUCUUUAAUUAUUAUAAAUAAGGUACAAAACUACACACCGAUAGUUCACUUGGAAUGGAACAAAUUUCGACCCACAAAUUAAAGUGCUACAAACUACACACCGAGGGGCCCACAUGUCAUGAAACAAAUUUGGACCCAUAUACAAAUUAAAAAAUAAAGGACGAGGAUCGAACAUGCGACCGGGCCUUCAAGCCGCACGUCAAUAGGCAACAUACGUAGAAUAGCAAUGUUUGUUGUACCCCCUUUGUUCACAUAAUGUUUUUAUAUUACCACAGCCUAAUUAAUGGAUAACAUGUUAUAUUAUUUUUAGUACUAUUCACCUUCACUUACUGGUGGGUUCCAUGUGUGCUCUCUGUCUCUCCUCCCCUUCUGCGUUUAGACGCACGGGCAAACAGGAAGAACUCGCGGGCGAUGUUGCCGUUGACCAUAUCUGGACGCGUUCACAAGUCACGACACCAGUUUCACUUACUAGCAGCACUAGUCAGUGUGUACGUGCAAUGCACGUUAAUUUGGAAGUAUAUUAAGUGCAUGCGGAUAUUAACUACUAGGAUAUUAUUUGCGUGUUGUCAUGUGAUUAGCACUAUUUUUGGCAUGAAAUUAACUGCACGCUAAACGUGUUGAGCGCUCGACAUUGAAGUAGUCUAGUUCAUUGGAUGACAAGGUAUACAUGUGGCUUGAUGACGUUUUAUAUUUAAUUUGAUACGGCUCUAGCAAAACAUUCAAUCGAUCAAACCAUACAUUUCGUUCAGUCUGACUCCGACUUUAAAUUAUACGACGAUCGAUAUAAAAUAAACGGAAAUGAUAAACUUUUGGAUUUUAAGCAUGGCAAUCCGAAUGUUUUUCAUGGCAAACUUAGAUUACGCGGCGGCGGCGGGGGCGUCUCGCGGUUGGAAGCGGCUCCUCUGCCGUGCUCUGUGUGUCGUCGGACCACUGACCGACGGCGACGGCGGCGUCUUGCGCCGUUGUUGGCGUACUCCUGGACGUUGGCCUAGCUUGAAGGAAGGCCAAAAUGGUCUGGACUUCGGAGCGAGUCAACUGGCGGGAGGAGGCGACUGGCGUUGGUGCAAGGAAGCGGUCGGCGGCAGCCAUCCAUGCCGCCGAGGGGGGCACUGGCACCCGCGCGGGGACAGGCACUGUCAACGGCGCGGCGAAGACAUUCGUGUGCACGGCACAGGCACGGGCGCGCACGUCAGUGCACGCGCAGGCGCAUACGCUGGCAGGUGCAUGGGCACCGGCACGGGCGUGCGCGUCAGUGCACGCGCAGGCGCAUGCGCUGGCAGGUGCACGGGCGCGUGAAAGUCGGCGGGGACCUCGUGGAACCCCGUGGGAUCAAGCUCGGCGACAAUGUGUGGCUCCCUGCCCAUCAAUGCCACGGGGAUGGGCGUUGGCACAGUCGAGGCGACGGGAGCCAGAACGGGAGUGGGGACAGGCGCGGCGUCUUCCCGCAAGGCCAGUUCAAGCUCGUCCCAAAGCGCCUUAUGUUCUUGAGACUCCGGCUGGGUGUCUUCCUCAGGAAACUGGAACACUAAGGGCAGACCAUCAUGAUGCGGCAUGGCGUACUUUUAGGUCAGGCUAGUUGGAGGUAGACGACAGGAGAAUCGGAGAGGAAGAGAGAGGAUUGUAGCGAUACCGGGUAGUGCGGGGUAGAUUUUAAACUGCGGCACCGACGACAUUAAAAGUGGGAGCAGUUGGGACGACGGUGGGCGGCGGAGCCUGGUAAAAGGGCUCGCCUCCCGGUGAGCCUGCACAGCGUUCUGCUCGCACGCCUCCCUGACAGCCGGCGCAGCGGUCUGCUCGCACGCCUCCCGUCGACUCACACGCUUGCUCGGACGGCACCUGCCGAUGAGAAGCGGGGACUCGUGGUGGCACGUAAACGCCCACGGUUUCAAUAGUGAAAGCGUUCGCCUUAACGUGACAGGUCUUCGUUCCAAAAUACCUUGGCUCUUCAUUUGUGCAACUUGUCAUAAGCAGCUUGUCUCAAAUUGAAGAAAAAACUUACGAAGUAAUAUUUGUGCCAUAUCACGUGACCAUGCUUAGUUUCAAGAAUUUAUGCUCACUUUUGGAUUUUUUGAAAUUUAAGAUCCAGGAUUCGAAACAAUAUCGUAACCUGCAUCAUGCAAUAAAUUUUCAAGCCGUACAUCUGUCCUGUUGUAUUUCUUAAGAAAGGAUUUGGUCAAACAUUUUGCUUAGUUAGACUUCAGACAAGUUAUAUAUGCAGAGUAAAAGGAUAAUCCCUCCGUACCAGUGCAUUGCCUGAUAUAUUAACUCAAGUACUAGGCACGAACAAACGGGCUCAAUUCUGUGCUCAUCCUGGUGUAGUAGUAGUAGUAGUAGUACUAGGCAAUGCAGUUGACGAGUGACCUUGACGAGCGGCGACCGAGGGAAUUGAACCGUGCUCGGCACGGUAGGUAACGUUGUCUAGUUACUAAAGCAUCCCUCCGUUGUUCAUCGGUAGUCAUUAUGGACCGGGGACAUGAGGGGAAUUUCCUAGGGCUGGAAUUCUGGCCGCCAGAUAUUUCGACUUGAAACGCUGAGGCUCGACUGGUUGGGGUUGCCUAAUGUGCGUACCACGCACGCCACCGAAGGACACGAGCCCGGUAUUUUUUUAGGAUCAACACGAGCCAAUGUCUGGCUGGUACGCCGUUGGGUCCUACCAUUCGAGAAUACGAAAUGAACCUUUUAAAUUGCCGAACGAAUCUAUGUGUAUUACAAUACCCGUAUUUUCCUUGCAAAUACUAAUCUCAACGUGGUAAUUGAUUUAUGACGAGUUGUUGAAUUAGAGUGAGCUUUUGAUAUAGUGAUCUCAACGUGGAUUUCACAUUUCAUGGUAUCCCUAGUAAGUUUUCCAAUGCAAAUUCAAAUUUAAAAGAUGAACAAUAUGGAGGUGAGAAAACUUUGUAUGUAUCAAGCAUAUGACCACACACACACACAGAGAGACACACACGCACGAACACAACAACAAUCCAAUAAGUAUAGUGCAUCUAUUUUUCCAAACCAUGCAUGUAUGACACGAAUUCAAAAAUACUCCUUCUAUUCCUAAAUAUUAGUCUUUUAGAGAGUUCAACAAGUUACUACAUACGGAGCAAAAUGAGUGAAUCUAGACUCUAAAAUAUGUCUAUAUACAUCCGUAUGUGCCAGUCCAUUUGAAGCCUCUAAAAAGACUAAUAUUUAGGAACGAAGGGAGUAAAAUGUAAGACAUCCAUGGUCCUCAGUUCAAUAUUUAAAAUGAACAUGAAACUGAAACAUGAAUAUUAAGUCUAGUACUACAGUACAUGCAAAUGUUGUGUUUAGGCGGAGCUAUGAUUGUCGGGGGUCAACCCCUCGACCUUAGAUAAAAUUGUGGAGCUCUAUUUAGGGUUGUUUAGAUUAUAUUUGUCCCCACCCUCCCAACCAGCGAUUGGUUGUGCACCCCCCACCCCUCCUCCCCGGGAGAAUAUCAUGUGCCCCCAUACCUUAGAUGCUAUAUGCCGAUACGAGUUGCUUGGAGCUUGUAGAUCUGAGAUAUAGUAGCUCACAUGAUGUGUCUUAAUAUUUUUGCAGGAAACCUUGAUGAGUUUGAGAAUUGCACACAAUUUGUACAAAAACUACUUAGAUGCCCUUUGAUCCCAUAUCCAACGACCUCGAAGCUCGUAUCACCGUAGCAUCUAAGAUGAAGGAGGACAUCAUAUUCUCCUGUAUGUAAGAUUAUCAUGUGCUACCACACCUUAGAUGCUUUGGUGAUACAAGCUCUUCAGAGGCGUUGGAUUUGUGACCCAACACCUCCUCGGUGGUUUGAAUGGUUUUUUGCAGAAAAGCCCCCAAAGAGUUCGGCCACUGCUUACAAGCACAAAGACUGCUCAGAUGCCAUUGGAUCUCAGAUCAAACGACCUCCAAGCUCGUAUCACCGUAGCAUCCAAGCUGCGAUAGCACCUUAUGUUUUCUCGCACGGGAGAGUAUGAGGUGCUCCCGCACCAUAGAUUCUAUGGUGAUACGAGUUCACUGAGAUCUAACGGCCCACAGUAGGAGGUUUGAAUGUUUUUGCAAUAUACGACUGAUAGAGUUUGGGAAAUGCGCAGAAAGUACAAGUACUACGCAUGUGCUAUCUGAUCACUGAUCAUACGACCUAGAUGCUCAUAUCACCGUAGCGGGUAAUUAAGCUACGCUGAGCACCUAAUAUGAGCACCGGGGAGCCGUUGGAUCGAAGAUGCAGCGGCAGACAUGAGGCCUGAAUGUUUUAUUUGCAAAAAAAACCUUUGGACAGUUUGGAAAUUGUGCAUAAUUACAAAGACUACUCCCAAGCCAUUGGAUCUCACUUCCAACGGUGUAAAAACUUGUAUCACCAUAGUAUCUAAGCUGCGGGGUGGAUGUGAUAUUCUAUGCCGCUGUCAUUUUUGUUCGUAAACUUGCAAAAUACGUGUAACUCGUGUGGUUACUUGUCUAACCGCGCAAAGUGUUUGUUCAAAAAAACCAUCCUACACUAAAAUAUCGGAACAACACACGGGGGUCCCACUUGUCACUAAUCAAAUUUGGACCUAAAACUAACAAAUCUGAAAGACGAGAUUCGAACUGGCAACCUGGACUACAAAGCGUAAGUCGAUAGCCUGAAAAAACAAACGGUUUUUGGCUUUGUCCCAUAACUUGAUUUUAUACAGUACUUGCAUUGAGUAGAGUAGAGGGAGUGCCUCGUCAACACGUGCAAGACCGUUGUCUCACUUACUGGUGGGUCCCAGGUCUGCGAUCUCAAUCUCUCUUCUCUCCAUCGUCUAACCUUUGCACGGGCACACAUGAAGAGCGGCGCUAGCUUGCCGUGGUGUUAUUACAACUAAAAAAAAGCUUGGAAAAUAGAAGAAUCGCCUAGAACAAGAGACGUUGUGGCUAGUCGAGACGGAGCUAACCACAUCUAUCCUCCGUGCCACGUUUGCAUGAUGAAGCUGUGUGGCUAGUGGGGUGUUUUUGACCGACUGGCUGGGUCCCAAGGUCGAACCAUAGGUACUACGUCUGAUACAGUAUAUUUUUACACGCACAUUUUCCUCCGUGCCGAGACGUGGCACACCCUACCGCGCGGUUUCGGGGUCCUCCCGGGUGGUGCACGCAUAUAUUCUUCCUGACGUGGGACGCCCUACCGCGCGUUUUCUAGGUCCUCCUCGGUCGUAGCGCCGAAGCAAGUAAAUGAGUCGUCAAAUCACGAAAGACCACCUUUCCCGCUGAGUACAUCAGUGAAGCACGGUGGCUAGCUAGUUGGGCUAGUUCGACCGAUUAGCUAGGCCGCCGCCACAUUUAUUUUUUCACCCCUUUUUUUAUCUACUUGCCGGCAGGUAAAUUUAAAUAUCCACCGCGGCGUUGCUCUCGUGUUUGGGUGCGGCAGCAUUUUUAAUUUUUUGAUUGACGGGAGCAGGCGCGGUAGGAUUUUUAAUUUUUUGAUUGAAGAGAGCAGGCGCGGCAGCAAUUAGUCACGAUGACUCCGCCUGUAAAAACCCACUGCUCCCUGAUGUGAGAAGUCGUCGACUAGUGUUUUACCGUGGUGAAAACCAAAAGAUUCCCUGCUCCCUCCGCCUUCCCGUAGAUUGCAUUGCCUUUCAGCCGUUUCGCCCCCUUUGCUUCCUCUCCCCAUUGCUUCUACCUGGUGCCAUGGCGGCGCAGCAGAUCACGGAGUCCGAGGUGAGGCGCCUGACACAGGAGCUCCAUGCCAAGGAUGCGGAGCUUAGGGCCAAGGACGUGGAGCUCCGUGAGCUCAAGGAGGAGAGGAGUGCCAUGCUCCUCCGUUAUGUGCGGGAGUUCACGGAGCUUCAAAAGCGGCAGGCGUCCACCACAAAGAUGCUCGAGGCAUCGGCGGCGUUGCUGCAGAAAGCGGGAGAUACGAUAGGCCGUCAGGGGAGCCGGCUGGAGCGCGAGCGGGCCGAUCGUGACGAGGUCCAGGAUCGCCUCAGCCACUUGGUGAACCAAGUUGCCACGCACGUGUUGCGGCUGCGCGAUGCCUACCGUUGUGCCAGCGCGACGAUGCCGGCCUUCGGGCUAAACCCGUUCGACCACCCGGUCGACUUCAACGAGCUGCGGCUUCCUGACCUGGUCUCCUUCUUCACCUAUAUCUCCGAGGAGCUGAGCCGUCUCCGCGCGAUGUUGGGGGCUGAGCUGGACAAGGAGGGGUUGCGGGCUGCCGUCACAGUUGCCGGGCGAAUCCUUUCAGGGCUCCGUCACCGGAAUCCAUUCGUGCCAUUGGACGCCGUCUUUGACGAGCUGGCUCCUGUCGACCGGGAGCGGGCCCUGCGGGCGGUUGCACCCUGCAUCACCAACGUCAUGCGCCUCGAGAAGCAGAGGGACUUCGGUAGUGUUUAGGCAUCCUCUGCAUGGGCAUGUCCAUGUCUCGGCGCAACAUGACCGUUGGAUCAAACUCAGACGGUGCAGAUCAAUCACUGUAGCACAAAGCGUGUGGGUGUGUUUGGUUGCAUUCUCAUCUCAAUAUAGUUGUUUCCUCUUCGUGUAUUUUUGUCAACCUACUAGUGUGGACUCAUGCACCCUUCAUGCACUCUGCCAAACACCCAAAAGUGGGUCGAGAAGGGAACUUUUGCUCCCAUCCCGUGCACCCUUCAUACACUCUGCCUAACACUAUUCGUGCUUCAUAUGGUUCAUGUUUCGUGGAGUACUGUAGCACCGUACUCUCCGUGCGCUGUGGACCUAGUUCUGUUAACAUUGAUCUCACCGUUCAUUCUCGACCGGACAGUCGAAAAAGCGGUACUAUGUUACAUAUAGGAGUAGUUGACAUGCGCACAACAUCAUUUGUUAUCGUCAUAUCUUACUACACUAGCAACAAGAUUGUGUAGUACUGACGUAUGAACCACUGCACAUGCCUAGUAGUAGGAGCACUGUGUAUGUUCAAGUGGCUGCCGUGUUUUGCACUCCUCCGUCGUAAGAGUGGAAACACUUGCUGUAAUCAUUUUUUCCUUCAGAAAAACAGUGGACACGCUCUACCGUGCGGAUCCUCCUCCAGCCAUGCACUAAAUUACUCACUUUCGCCGACGUGUGGGACAACCAGCACCUGGGUCCACCAACCAUGCACUAAAUUACUCCGUAGUAGAGUGACGGUAGACUACCCCGAUCGAACCGCCGCAGUAAUGCCCAAUGAGCCGUCAAAUCACAAAACCCCCGCCUUUCCAGCAGUAAGUUGGACGGACGAAGCAACCAUCAUUUCACUCUUCUCUCUCAGCUUCCUCUCUUGAAGAAAACCCCCACUCGCUUCGCUUCUCCCUCAUCUUGUUCCUCCUUUCACUCUUCUCUCUCAGCUUCCUCUCUUGGAUGGACGCCGGAGCAUCGGCCGACGUGAUGUCUAUGGCUCUGGCCAUAACCGUCGAGGCUCAUGGUACGAAGAAGCACAAGCACCCCGCCGAGACUACCGCAGACAAGCUCGAAGCCAUCGCCCUGUCCAAGCCCCCCUCUCCGGGAUCCCUCAUUAAGCAAGUCCAGGUAAUGUCUCUUGUUGACGAUCUUUUUCUCGAUCUUGAUCGUGUUUUUUCAUCUAACACGCAGUACUAGUACUGGUAGUACAACUUUCUGGGUGAUCUUGCAUGUGAUUUUAGUGUGCCAAAUGACGGUCCUAAAUUCCUCUUUUGACGAAAACAUGCGAGAGGUUGACACUGAUUUCUUAUAGAUUACUUUCAACUACUCCCUCUGUCCCAAAUUUCUUGUCUUAGAUUUGUCUAGAUACGGAUGUAUCUAAUACUAAAAUGUGAGUUGAUACAUCCGUAUCUAGACAAAUCUAAGACAAGAAUUUUGGGACGGAGGGAGUACUUUAUGAACAUCAAUGCUACCUUUUAAGAGGGUAUAUUUGCCUCAGUAACUUGUGUUAUGGAUAUUGCAUGUAAUCCCUCUGCUCUCAUGCCUUUGAAGACAUGUUCUAGGUCUUUGUUCACUCAUUUCUGUGCGUAUAUGUAGUCAUAUAUGGAGUAUAAUAUCGAAAAUCAUCUUAUAUUUCUGAACGGAGGUAGUAAUAAUAUAUGGUUUCUGUUUGAAUUAGAACCAGGUCCGCGGUGGAGAUGAAGUUCUCAAAGUCAUGCCGUGUGAGCUGGAAGACCUGAUGAUGAGUUCUACUGCUAAACUAUCCAGCUGCCAUGUCCUUGUCGCCACGUGUCCUGAACUAGUGUUUUCCUGUAGCAUUGUUGUCAGGCGUGUUCUCGAGGAUGUACUUGACCACAACAAUUUCCUGGUUGUGCCUUCGAUUACGAAGGAUGUGGUUCUUGUAAAGCUUCCCAACAAAUCUGAUGCGGCCUGUCUUCAUCAUCAUGUUUAUGAGUGGAAAGACCACUCUGUUAGGUUCUCCAAGGUUGACAAGAUGGUGAUGGUGCAUGUAGCCAUCUCACACGAAGUCCAUGGCCUAGUCAGUUAUCCGGGGUUCAUCCCGUAGGUCGGUGGCAAGAAAUAGUCUGCAGAGUUUAGUUAGUGCAACUUUGCUUGUCUGUAGUAAGUACUAUUGUUCAAUACUUGAUUUGUGUUUGUGAACCCUGUAUUGUUUAUUAGUACUGCCGCUUUUGGUGUGUGAACGGUCUAUGUUAAUGUCUAUGUUACUGUAUGUCCACUCAAUUCGGUCUGUAUAUUUUGAAGAAUCCAGAUCAUAUUUUUUGUGAGGACGGUUUAUCAAUUAUGGUUGCACUCCAAUAUCUGUAUGCAUUGCAGGGUUUAUCGCACCCACCAGGAUUUCCAGUCCCAUGGAUGUUCGGUCCAUACGAUUUGUCAUGACCUUUGGACUGUCCUGUUUGUGGGAGUAGGCGGGGCCCCUGCAUGCCACGCGUAGUUGGACGAUCAAUCUUCUGUUUAGUACUUCAACAUAGUGAUUUCCUGGUAAGGAUUCACUCAUGUCACAUCAAGUAAAUCUUAUUGAUUUACUGUCUAAAUCUUAUUGAUUUAAUGUCAUGUUUUCUUUCUUUUCCUGCAAUUUUACGAUGCAGGUUUUGCCAUGUGACAUUCAUCACAGAAUAAACCGUUUGGUUUGCUCUACGAUGGCUAUUUUUGCAGGUUUCACUUCUUAUGUCAUGUUAAUGAAAGCACUGUCCAUCACUUAUAUUACUGGAAAAAAUUGGACCAGUCUGUUGUCUGAGUACAAGCUGAAUCCCUAUGAUGAACUGCAGUUUGGUUUAACAAAAACGCCACAAUUAGUCCUUCUCGCGUUUAAAAGAAAUGAAGAAAAAAACUGGAUCACGGUCACGGAUCCUAGUCAAGUUAGAAAGCUGAUCAUAGCAGACCAGACACGAUCGCCGCUGUCUCGCACAGAUCGAGCACCGGCAGUUGCUCUAGCACUGACAGCGGCAACAGCUCAGUCUGAUCCAGCUGAGGAUUGGGCACCGACCGCGUCAGCGGAUCAGUCUGAUCUACCGGAGGAUCGGGCAUCGACACCGGCACCUGCUCCGACACCAGCACCAGCUCUACAAGGAGCACCAUCUCCGGCAGCAGCGGCGGCUUCGGCACCUGCACCAACACUUGCACUUGCAUCUGCUCCCGCCCAUGCAGUUGCACCGGCAACAGACUGGGCUGCAGUUCGCACUUCAUAUACCAAAGUCCUUACAAAAACCGACAUGUCCACCUUCUUGGUAAGCAUUGGCCGCCCAAGUGCUUCGUUCUUUUUUCUUUCCAUGUUGUUUCACAUGAUUCACUGUGUUGAUCUAACUGUUUGGGUAUGUCUUCUUGUUUGCAAACAGAGAAUUCCUAGAGCAACGAGAGAGUCGUUCAACAAUCCGGGCGACCGUGGCCAAGUUUCUCUUACCAUGCGCAGCCUUGGUGUGACUGAACCUGCUCAAUAUACCGUAAGUACAAAUGAUGGUCGCAUGAUGAUUAAUGCUAAAGGAUGGUCAAGGUUCAAAUCUAUAUCAUAUCUUGUGGUAGGGGAUGAUGUCAAAAUCGAACUUUCUCGGCAAGGAGAGCUGGUCCAAAUCAACUUUGAAAUUCUUCAGUAGCAGCAUGCAACUGCCGAACUGAUCUAUCCUCCAAGAGAUUUUGAUGUAAUAAUCUGGCAUGGUGAAACAAGUGUCCUGUGUGUAUAAGUAGUACGACAGUAUUAUUUAUCACAUGGUAUAUCGUUGAUAGAAUUGCAACUCUGAUUGCUGGUUAGGAACUGUCGUUCGAUUUCAUUCCAACAGCUGCUGUGCUUUAUUCAAUUUUGUGUAUUCGCCUUGCGACAGCAUCUAAAACCAGCGCCGUACCGAUCGCUUGCAAUAUGAAAAGCGCUGAGGUAGAACACAUGGGCCCCAAAACAUGCAGGGUUGGCCUGCGGCCCAAAGUCCAGAACCAUGAGCCUAUCUGAGUAUUAUAUUCUCAGCUGAACCCCCAUAAAAAAAGCUGAACCCCCAUAAUGCCCUUGCGUUGCAGAGGGAGUAUAUUUCUCGGCAAGGUGAGCCUGUGAUAUAAAAGAUUUGUAUAUUUCUUUACAGAGGGAGUAUCUCUCUGUCAAAAAAUAUAUUUAUGUGUAACUAGUUACUCUUGUCUUUCUACUUCCUUUCGCUGAUAUGUGGGGCAACCGGCAACGGGGUACACAUGCCAUAUGCACAAAUUAGAGUGCACAACUUCACGGUAGACACACCCCGGUCGUAGCGCCGCAGUAAUGCCCAAUGAGCCGUCAAAUCACAACCCCCCUUUCCAGCUUUAGCAGUAAGCUGGACGGACAAAGCGGCAAUAUUUCACUGGGCCUGAAUCCCCUUCUCCCUCGUCUGCUUGUUCAGAGAAAACCCCCUCUCGGCGAUUGCAUAGGGUUUUCUCAUGGAGAACCAGGUACGAAUUCUUCAUCCAUCCCUGAUAAAUCCAAGUCCCUUGGUCACAGGUAAUCCUAGGAUGGCAGCCGCCACCGUUGAUGCAUUUUUCUUCCUACUGAAUCUAGUGUGUUUCAUUUGCAGUGCCCAAAGUGCGAGUACCCUACAGGUUUCUGCGCCCUCGGCGAGACGCCACACUUGUUCCUUCUCAUCCUAACACAGCAUUUUGAAACGCGCACAGUAUGUUCGUAGAAUCCUAUUUUUUAUCCGGGAGGGUGGGGUUUUUUUGAACAUGCUGUGUUCUCAUAUUAUUUUUCCUGCAGUGUAUUAUUUGCUCUGCCAGAACACAUGUACUCAAGAUGCUCGGCCUUGCCAUAACGGAAUACACUAGUUUAAUGGUCACAGUGAAGACAUGCCAUGGAUAUAAGUUCCGAGUUGGGUUCAUGAACCAAGAAUAUCGCUGCUUUUUUAUGGCCGAACUUGGAUAAACUUUCUCAAGUGUUACAGACUUAAAGUUGGCGCAUGAAUGUUGGUGGAAAUAGCAGAACCUGGUCUCAUCUUCACUACGAUCUUCCACCCCGACGUUGUUCCAAUUGUUCACCCAUGUUAGUUUUGUAUCUGGUUCUUGCUUGUUGCCUCGAUUACUUCUUAAUCCACCUAUUCUAUCUAACUAAUCACAAUUUAACUUUAGAAGUAGCAACGAAUCUCUCACGAAGAUGCUACUUCUAACUAAUAUUUUCUUAUAAUUGGUGGCACGUGUAGGUUUUUUCAGAGUUAAGCAGUCUGCUCGUUUGUUACUCUAUAAUAACUUGGCUGUUACUAAUGGCAGUGAAGUUGAGUGGAUCGACAUCCACAAGUUCCUACACUUUAUUGAUCGUCUUGAGGUCCUUGUGGGGCGUUUCAAUGGUGGAAGGCCACCUGGCAUAUGUGUGCCACUGCUGCACUCGUUGAACAGGUCCAACUGUGUCGAGAAACUUAUGGUACGAGCUGUUUUCUGUUAUAUAUGUUGUUCAUAAACUAUUGCUUAUACACAGUUUUACAACUGUGAUCUUCUUGAAACAGGAACUGCCGAGUUCUAUUGUUCCUAUACAGAUGCCUGGCCAUGGUCGGGUCAGACUUGCGCUUGGUCACAACAUGAUGUUUAUGUCGACCUACUCAAUUCCCCUUGGAGGUGAAAAGAUACUUAUUCAUGGGUGGUCUCAAAUAAUGAAGGCCCGUCCAUCUUGGAGAAUAGGACAGAAGAUUAUGUUCAUGCUUUUUCAUGGCUCUAAAGCGAAUAUCCUGUUUAUUGACCACGUUGCGAGAUGAAGCCGCUUUCAGAAGGUUGUGGAUGCGCGGGGUGGCGCCUGGGCCUUGUCCUGGGGCUUGGCGGCCUCACCCUUGGUUAAUUGUAGGCAAAGUAGCACUGUUCGAGGCGUGCUUUGUAUGGUUGAACCUGUAUAAGUACUCAUACUGCUUUCAGCUUUGGUUGUUAAGUGCCCCUGCUGGUUUCAGUUAAGGUUGUUAAGUACUCCUGCUGCUUUUACAGACUGUCGUGUUUCUUCUGUCCUGUCUUCCUCCAGCCGCCAAAACCAAACAAGCGCCGGCGGGGCCGCCUGCUUCCGCUUCACACGGCUGGCUGCGCCUCAGCGCACACAUCGCCGCCCCACCGUCUCCUAAAUCGUUAACGCCGAUGUCCUCCGCGCGCUUUGGUGCGCUCGCCGCGGCGCCGCCCUCUCGCGUUGUCAACAUGGUCAACAAACAACAGGAAUCGGCAGAAGUACGUGGAGAGGAUGACAGUAGGGCCCACCACGUCAGCGUAUGGAAAAAUAAAAUGCUUCCUCCUAGUGUUUUCCUGACAUCUGGGACCCACGACAUUGUGAGCGUAUAUAGUCAAUAGACAAGAGAACAACACAAGAUCGGCUGACACCUGGGAUGUAGCUAGUCGAGCAGUAUUUUUUUGUUUGUAUUGUUGAGACGGAGCAGGGUUUGAACUUGGCUGUGGCCCGUCUAGCCCAGGCUUAUAUUUUAUGUUCACCAUGUGACCAGCCCAGCUAUUUUUUCUUUGUGAAAAUGAGCCCAGUUUAUUUUUUCUGAAGAAUACCCAAUCCAGGCCUACUUAUUUUUCUACGCCCUGAUGGGCUGCAACUCUUUCAAGACGCCUGCAAAUCUUGAAAGUAAUAUGAAAUGGGUUGUAAAUAUAAAAACAGAUGACAAAUUGGCAAUUACUUUAUAAUUUCUGAUUUUUUUUCACAUUUUCAGAUUCCUAUUUCACUGGGCAUUAACCUAAUUUAAAUAUAUCUUCAAAGUACUUUAAAUCUGGCUCGACAUUUCGGUAUUAAAAAUAGUUUGGAACCCACAGAAAUAUGCGGAAUUGGCCCUGGCCAACCAAAAAAACGACUGCAAUAAAUUGCAUCAGAAGUUGCCAUGAGCUAUAUAUAAACUAUUAAAAAAAGAGGAAGUCUUCUGACUUGUGGGCCUGUUUAGUUGACGCGUAUGCAAGACUUUUUUAGUUGUUAUAUACGUCAACAAACGAUUCUAGCAGACGUAACCGUUGGAUGUCAAUCCAACGGCCGUCGUGUUUCUUCAAUCUCUGAUCUUCUUGCUCCAGCCGCCAAAGCAGCGCCGGCGGGACCGCCUACUCCCGCCUCCCGUGGCCGGCUGUGGUGUCGCGCAGGCCUCAGCGCCCCCUACUACUCCCACCGCUGGUCGGGGCAUCCCUCUACUCACCCACACCCCCUCUUAUUCUGCGGCGACGGCAGCCUCACACCGCAGCCGAACCGGUGAACCCUCGUACUCCUCUCCGCGCGGGCUUCCACUGCCGCGUCUUCCCCGGCUCUGCGUCGUCCCCUUCCUAGGCCUCGCCGUCGUCCACCGCCGUGGUGCUCUCGGCGCGGCGUGGUCAAUGUGGUCAACGACCGACUUCCAUCGAAAGAGUACUGUACGUGGAGAGGCUGACAGCUGGGUCCACGGCAGCCGCAAGGAAGUGCCUCCUUAUUAUGCGGAAAAUAAUUAUUCCGCCACCUGAUAGCAGGGACCCACCGGACGGGCCACCAGUGUUUCGCGAAAUAAAACGUUUCCCCCUGACUGCUGGGACCCACAGGACGGGCCACCGUAUUUCGCGAAAAAACGUUCCCCCCGCUGUCAGCUCGGACCCACCGGAAGUACCUCCUUAUUACGCACAAAAAAAUGAAUACCCCCCUGCUAGCUGGGACCCACCUUGGUGGGAGGCGGACUUUUGGGCCUACUAAGUUGACUGGGAUGGAGGCCUUUGUCAACUUUAGUCAAUAUAUGAACGAUUCUAGCUCCAGUGACCGUACGAUGUCCAUCCAACUGCCGUAGUGCUUCUUCAACCUCUGGUCUUCUUGCUCCAGCCGCCCAAAGCAGCGCCGGUCGUGCCGCCUGCUCCUGCCGGCUGUGAUGUCGCGGAGGCCUCACCGCCCCCUACUACUCCCACCACUGGCCAGGCCAUCCCUCUACGCACCCACACCCCCUGUUAUUCUGCGGCGACGGCAGCCUCACAGCGCAGCCGAACGAGUGAACCCUCAUACUCCUCUACGUGUGGGCAUCCACUACCGCGUCUUCCCCGGCUCCGCGUCGUCCCCUUCCUAGGCCUCGCCGUCAUCCACCGCUCUGGUGCUCUCGGCGCGGCGUGGUCAACAUGGUCAAGGAAUGGCUUCCAUCGGACGUGGACUGUACGUGGAGAGGCUGACAGCUGGGUCCACGGCCGCAGCAAGGAAGUGCCUCCUUAUUACGCGCAAAAUAAUUAUUCCUCCACCUGACAGCGGGGACCCACCGGACGGGCCACCGUAUUUCGCAAAAAAAACGUUUCCCCCUGACUACUAGGACCCACCAGCUACAUCUUCGCACGCAAGGAAGUGCCUCCGAAAAAAAACGAUUCGCCCCCCUAACUGCUGGGACCCACCAGCUACAUCUUCGCUCGUAAGGAAGUGCGUCCGGAAAAAAACGAUUCGCCCCCCGACUGCUGGGACCCACCAGCUACAUCUUCGCACGAGAGGAAGUGCGUCCGGGCAAAAAAAAAACAAAACGAUUCCCCCCUGACUGGUGGGACCCAGCAGCUACACCUUCGCACGCAAGGAAGUGCGUCCGGGCAAAAAAACAAAAUGAUUCGCCCCCCUGACUGCUGGGACCCACCAGCUACAUCUUCGCAGGCAAGGAAGUGCCUGACAGUCGGGACCCACCUGGUCGAAGCGUACGUAGCAUUGUCAUUCUGGUCGCCAACGUUUACGUACAUAUAUACUGGUCGAUGUAGAGGCGCGCACGUAGGAUGUACACGUACGUACAGCGGCCAGGGUGCAAGAAAGAAAAUACGGCCACGUACGUACAUACGGGCAGGGUCUCGAACGCCUACUCGCGCAUACGUUGUCGUGUACAUGGCUGGGUCGGAACGGAGAAACAGCGUCGUUGUCGUGUUCAUGGGGAGGCAACGGAAUGCGUCGUGUUCAUGGGGAGGCAACGGAAUGCGUCGUGUUCAUCGGGAGGCAACGGAACGCAUGGGAGCCAACCGGCUGGGUCGGAAUGGAAUGCGUGGUCGUGUUCAUCGAGAGGGCUUGGACGGAACAGGCGAUGGAAACGAGGCCUGGCGUACCGCAAAACGGAGGAAACGGCCUUGUGUUCGACCGGUCAUGUUCGAAACGGGAUCCUGUUCAUCGGGAGGGGUCUGCGUACCGCAAAACGGAGGAAACGGACCUCCUACAGUCGAAACGGGGGUCCUGUUGAUCGGGAGGGGUGUGGCGUACCGCAAAACGGAGGAAACGGACUUGUGUUGGAGCGCUACGGUCGAAACGGGGGUCCUGUUGAUCGGGAGGGGUGUGGCGUACCGCAAAACGGGAGUCCACGGGAUACUGUUCAUCUCCACCGUCGACCUCCUCCACCCUCCACGGGCUACCGUCGACCUCCUCCAGCCUCCACGGGCUCCUGUUCAUCCAGCCUCCACCGCGCGCUACUCCACCGGCUACUGUUCAACCACCCCUCCACGGGCACCCCUCCACCGUCUACUGUUCAUCCAGCCCUCCAUACCACGGGCUCCUGUUCAAUCACCCCUCCACGGGCACCCCUCCACCGUCUACGGUUCAUCCAGCCCUCCACACCACGGGGUCAUGUUCAUCCAGAGGCAACGCCACCGCUCACUCUUCAUCCAACCCCCCAUGCAACGCUCACUGUUCAUCCAAUCGAUCGGCUUCAGUUAGCAGCAGUAGCGAAGGAAUCGCUCGAUCGGGUUCAGUUAACAGCCAUCGAUCGAUCGCUCGGGUUCAGUAACGCGUAGCCUGCAGUGCAAUCGCUCGGGUUCAGUUAGAGCCCAACGCCUCGCUCGGGUUCAGUUAGAGCCAAAGCCUCGCACACACGCGCGUACGUGUAUGAGAGAAACGCGCAUCGCUCGGCCCCCGACCUCCCACCGUAACCGGGAACUCCCAGAAAUUUUCCUCCCCCUCGCUUCUACCACGGUUUUUUUCGUCAUGGACGGCCCAAAGAAUGUCAUACAGCUGCGUCUCCGGCCCGCCCAGGACGAAAAGCCCAUUUUCUGUCAUGAUUUUUUGUCAUAGAAGUAGGAGCCCACCACAUCUAUGAUGAUACCAGGUUUUGUCACAAUUAUCGUCAUAGAAGUGUCAUAUGUAUGACAAAUUUUUUUUCGUUCGGCCCAAAAUGUCACGGAUGUGUCUUUUUUUUGUAGUGUUAUUCCUUACGUUCCGACAUAAUCUUGGAAGUGUUCCUUUGUAUCUUUUUAGAUCUUCAGAUCCAACUCUUACCCGAAACACCAUGUUAUUGCUACCUCGAAGCAUGACUAUGGUACUCUGUAUAUCAACAAGAACAUUGGAAGCGCAAUGCUAAAUGUUUCUUGAUUUAUUAUUCAAACACCGUGAUGUGGGUAAUAUCAUGAUUAUUCCCUCGCCCCUUUGUCUAAAUACUUUUCAACUUGCUGUCCUAUCAUGUAUAUCAUGCCCCGCCUUUCCUUGGGAAGGAUAUACCCUAAAUUCUUGUGUGCAAACACAUUUUUCCUUUCCUUUGAUCUGAUUAAUCCUGAUAAUCACAUUUACCUUUCCAUUGGUUUGUUAAUCUUUCUUUUGAUCUAUAUGAUAAAAGAAGAAAUAAUUCCCUGCUUAUAAAAACGCCUCAAGGUACAAUUCGGUCAGUACGACCCUGUUACUAAUGUUGAUGACAUUCCGGUAACCACCAAUGGACGAGAACUUUGCCUACUGGUCCGCCUCGUUUCAACGAGCAGGAAAAUGGUUCUCUUCAUCCCUCGCCCUUGGUACCAACGUUGUUGCCACCAUAACUGACAGUUUUUCCUCUAACAUGCCUCGCUAUCAUGACCGUGCAAGAUGUCAGCUUCCUUCCUACUUUCUACCACAUGGUGGGCCCAUAACCCACAAUUCCACAGGAUCGAAGCCUGACUCUCCUGUACAACCUUGAUGCCGAAGUAUCUUAUGCUCUUGGCUUUGUGUGUUAUCACGAGCCACCCCCGAGGGAUGAUCUAUUCCCGAUGCUCUGAACCCCUUCUCGCACUCUGUUCAAGUAUCGAUCGUUUGUCCAUUCGCUUGAAACUUCUUAUUGUACCUUCAUAUUUUGCUCUCAACGUUUUUCUUAAAUUUCAACUCGAGAGAUACUUCUGUCACAUUCCCUGCAUUGUUCACCAGACAAUUAACCCUAUAUGGGUCAGUUCUCCUGAAGUUACUCUUUACUUCACCACUUAAAUCUUGGGACGAGAUUUCUUGUAGUGGAGGAGAUUUGUAACACCCCCAGUGUCAUGCUACAGUAAUCCCCUGUUAAUGGUGCCAGGUCACCAUGCUUACUGAGCUAAUUAUCACUUGAUGAAAAAUCAAAGUCAAAUUCAAAUUCAAAUUAUGAGGGAAAUUCAAAAUUUCUCAAACAUGAAAACCAAAAUGUUCAUCAUGUGCCAAAUCAUCCAUAACUAAUCUUGGUGGUGAACCAACAUUUUUGCAAAAUUUUUAAGGGGCCUAAAGUACUUAAAACAGUUACCUAAGCAAUAAAUUAAAUGCCUUUUUAAUUUAUAAAAAUUGCUAACUGUUUCAAAAGCCUCACAAUCUUUUUGUGGCAGUGCCCAAUAAUUCUUUGAUAUUGUUUUGGCCAGUGGCAUAUUUUUUUGCAAAGUCAAUUGUGGCUAAAAGAAAAGGCAAAAGCUGCAAAAAAAGAAGGAAAAGGGGAUCCCCUGCCCCUGGGCCUAAGGCCACAGAGACAGGACCAGCCGGCCAGGCCCAGCUCCCCGCCCCGGUCAUCUCCCCACUGUUCUCCAGGUGCGCGUCGCUACAGGAGGCUCGUCGCCGCCCGACCACCUCGCCGGCAAUGCCGUGGGUGGAUAACAGCACCCCCCUCCGGCUCCUCGAGUCCUCCCCCACCUACCUCCACCCACUCCCCUGCUCGCCCUCUCCGCCUCUCCCUCUCCCCACCAGAUCCUAUUCCCACCUCGUCCGAGCACCACCAUGGAUGCUGCCCCGUGAAGCUCGCGGCCACACUUCCUCACCGCGCCUCGCCUACGUGUCCGCGAAUUCCGCCGCCGACUGCUUCUUCCUCUACGUCCACGUGCGCGGGCUGGAAGCACCUCUAUCGCCGGAUCCGCAGCCGUCUUCUUCGUCUUCGGUUGCCGGCGAGUUCCGUCGAGUCCGGCCACCCUCUACUGCUACUAAUCCUCCAAGGGCCACCGUGUGUGCCGCUCGGUGAGCCCCUCUUCCUUCCCCAUCUAUCUGGUCACUCUCGCACGCUCGCUAGCUACUUCCUCUGCAGUGACCGAACGCGCCGCCGCCGACGAGCUCAUGGUCGUCGCCACAGCCACCGUCAUGCUCGCCCGAACACAACACCGUGCUCCUGGUGCUUCCAGGAAUACAACACGCGCGCGCACACAUCCUACCGUGCCCCCUAGCCCUAUCCCCGACGAGCGCCCGAAUGCAUCGCCGCGGAUCUCGUUGCCGGCGAGACUCCGGUGACCUUUUGGUCACGGGUAGUGCCCAACGUGCUCGCCGCACUGCAUAGAGCACGCCUAGCUCUUCCGUUCAAGCUGCUUCACGCCGUAGCACCGUUUCCGUCGAGCACCCGUACGUGCCGCCGCCUCUGCUCGUCGCCGGCGCCGAUUCCAGCCAAGUCCGGCUGCGCUAGCGCCACCACUCGAUGCGCGGCACCAUCAGCGUUCGAACGCAAGCAAAUCCGUGCGAGACGGUGCCCCGUAGCGAAUUUCCGAGCGUCUCCGGCGAGCUCGCCGCCGCGGGAGCCACCGGAGCAACCCCGGUGCCGGCCAUCUUCGUGGCUCGGUGGGCCCCGCCCCUGGGUCACUAACGUGUGGGCCCGAUGGGUCAUGUUGACUAGUUUGACCCAGUCAACUGCUGACUGGGCACACCUGUGCCACUGACGUGUGGGCCCCACCGCCUAAUUGGUCAAAAUCAACAUUUCCUAAAUAAACUUAAUUAGUUAACCUAAUUAUCCACUGACAGGUCGGGCCCACUCUGUUAAGGCCUCUGUCUAUGACAGGUGGGACCCACUAGUCAGUUUGACCAGUCAGCGGGUCAGUUGACUACUUACAUCACCCUGACAUCAUGCUGACAUCAUAUUCCAUUUCUAGAAAUUAUUGUUAACUUAUAUAAAUCCAGAAAGUGCUAGAAACUUUGAAAAUUCAUAGAAAAUAAACCGUAGCUCGGAUGAAAAUGUUUUCUAUAUGAAAGUUGCUCAGAAAAAUCCAACGAAUCCGAAUAUGCGGCCCGUUCAUCUAUCACAUCCACCUAGCAUGCUGAACAUGGAACUGUUCCCCUCAUUUCAUCUGUCCGAAAAAUACCAAACGCCGGGAAAGCCUCUCCGGAUGUGUUCCCUCUCCGUCUCCAACGUGUAGCACUGCGUUAGGUCACCUUUAGCACCGCGUAUUGCCAUGUUAUUAAUUGUGAUGCGAUGUUUGCUUUAUAUUUAUUGUAUCUUCCCCCUCUUCUCUCCGGUAGACCCCGAGGCCGGUGCCGCACUACAGGAAUCAGCUACUUUGUCGUCUGCCACGGCAGAUGGCAAAGGCAAGGAUGGCGGACGGCAAAGGCCUUUGCCGUCUGCCGCGGACGGCAAAAGGCUCCGGCACAGUAGGCAUCGGUAAAGAGCUUCUUUGCCGUCUGCUUUUUGAAGCGGAUAGCAAAGGGGCCUUUGCCAUCAGCGGCGGACGGCAAAGAAAGCCGACGGCAAUAAAUUCACUGUUAGUCCGUUAGGUGGCUAACGACAGUCUUUGCCGUCCGUGGCUGACGGCAAAGAGCAUCAAGCCUUUGCCGUCUGCCACUGUAGGCAAACUGACCAAAUGGGUCAGCUGCCAGGAAGCACCGGUUGUUGCCACGUGGCUUCUUUGCCGUCCGCCGCGGAUGGCAAAGAGCCCGUUGCCGUCGGUGGCAGACGACAAAGAGCCUGCAUUGCCUAUUUUUCUGUUUUUCUUAUACCCAACCAUUUUCACAGCAAAUAGAUGAUACAUAUAUAUUUUUCACAUGGCAAGUUCAUAGCAAACAUAUGAGAUAUCUAACACAUAUAAUUUCAUCAUACAUGCAUAGUUCCAUCAACCAUACAUAGCAAGUUCCACAUACAUGCAUCCAACCAUACAUAUUACAAUAGUGUUAUCCUACCAUACAUGCACAGUUCAUCGAUACAAAAGAAACAUAGUUCAUCCAAACAAGCACUCCAUCUAUGCUAGCUUCCGUGAAGCGAAUGAAUUCUACAAAAUGGGAAAUAAGAAAGUUAGAAGAAGAAGAUUAGAAGAAGAAGAAGAAGAAGAAAACGAAGAAGAAGAACAAUAUAUGACAUUUAUGAGCUAAUUUAGGUAUAAUUGAUCGUUUGUGAGCUAACUUAGGUGAAAUGGAUCGUUUAUGAGCUAACCUAGGUGAAAUGGAUCGCUUAUGAGCUAACUUAGGUAAAAUGCAUCAUUUUAGAGCUAACCUAGGUAAGAUGGAUCAUUUUGGAGCUAACCUAGGUAAAAUGGGUCAUUUUAGAGCUAACUUGGGUAAAAUGGAUCAUUUAUGAGCUAAGCAAGGUAAAAUGGGUCAUUUUAGAGCUAACUUGGGUAAAAUGGAUCGUUUAUGAGCUAACUAAGGUAAAAUGGAUCAUUUUAGAACUAACUUAGGUAAAAUGGAUCGUUUAUGAGCUAACUAAGCUAAUUAUGCCAUUUUGGACAUAAGUAAGCUAAGUACAUGUCAUUAUUGAGCAAACCUAGUUAACUAAGCAUAUUAGAGCUAACUUUGGUCAUUUUGGAGGAAACAAAGCUAAGUAUAGAUGGUUUUAGAGCUAACUUGGGUAAAAUGGAUGGUUUUGGAGGUCAGUAAGCUUAUUAAGUCAUUUUGGAGGAAAUAAAGCUAAGUCUAGGUCAUUGUGGUAAGCAUUUUGGAGGAAAUAAGGCUAAGUCUAGGUCUUUAUGCAUUUGUUAAGCAAAACACUAGAGAAACUUACCAUGAUCAUGGAGGUGUAGGAGCGGGCUGGCUCGUGCCGGUAGCUGGAGAAGGAUCGUGCGAUGCUUGUUUGGAGUUACGCUGCACCAAAGAUCAUUUCCAAUGUCUCGUUAGCAUGAUGACACUCAAAUGUUAAGACUAGCAAGUAAUGUCCAUUCAAAUUAAACUCACCGUGGUCCCAGGAGCAAUCACUGGCAUCGGCGGAGCGGUCUAACCGGUCUUCUCGUACACAGACUGCACAUUUGGUUUUGACGACUCAGUCAUACUAGUUAGUAAUGAGACAAACACUACAUGAAUGUUUUGGCUAAUCUGCAGAAGAAACUUACCACAAGGAGCUCGUACAUGGCCCUUGCCUGCAUGUCAUAACGUGCCCUCUCCUCCUCCAACAUCGUUGUCGUCCUCUCCUCCAACUCCCGCUGCCUCUCCGCCGCCUCCGCCAGAAGUUUCUCUGUUCUAUCUCUCUCACUCUGUAUAGCAGCCUGCAACACCACUCCUCGUUACCAUUUGUAAUCAUUGAUGCAAGCACAGACAAUGUAAUGGAGAAAGAUAACUGAGUACGUAUAACUAACCUUGAUGGCGAGUUGGACUGGCCGUUCACGAGGCCUUAUCUCAGGAGCGGAGCUCGACUGGCGCGCCUUGAUCUCCGGGAGAGUGCUAGGACAACGGAUAAGUCCAUCUCCAAUGGCUAUGGAGCCAUGGGACCUCCCGCCACCAGAUAUCAUCACCAGCUCUGGAUCAAUGGGAGCCUGGCUCGGGUUAAAGUACCCCCUUUCCUCGCCUUCCCCUCAUCUCUAUAUUUCAUGAGCUUGUCGUGGGAGGAGAUAUUGGUGAAGUUGUUUGCAUCAUCGAGGUCAGACGGAGAGAAUGCCUUGACUUUCUUGAAAGAGGCAGUGUGGGCCAUGGCAUACAGGUCGUACACCUCUGGCACCUUAUCCGCCUUAUUGUAGCAUGCCUGAAAGAGAGAAACAAAGUAAAUUAGUAAUUAAAGGGCUCAAGCUAGCAUGAUGAAUGAAUUGCAUGAAUCAUGAAGCAAACCACAUACCCAGUUCCACCCGAACUGAUAUAAGUUGGAGCUGCCUUGAUGGUGUGGCACACCUUCCAUUUGGGCACGUUUGUCCUUGGCCGCGUUGUGGACGGCUAGCCAUUCUUUUGAACACCACUCAUUGACCAACACCUCCCAACAAUCCAUCCGAUCCGCACACCAUCUCGGAGGCGCCUAAGUUAGCAAAUAGAAACUUGAGCGCUACGGCUAUGAAUUACUAAAUGAAGGAAGUAAGUACAAGGCGUAGUAGUCUCGAACAGCCUGCACCCGAGCCUCGUGCCGUAAGUUCUGUAGUAGGCGCUUGCAGGCGUUCUCGAUAACAUUUGCCGCCUCCUCCUCGUAUCCCUCCUCACACCUGUAGAAUGUCUGCAAUCAAAUGAGACAAUAUUGAUUAGUACAAUUAAUAACUAGCUAGUUGAAGAUUUUUAAAUGUGUAAAGGAGAAAUUACCCAGAACUUUCUGAUCACCACAUCUGCCCUCGUGUCGCACAAGACACCGUCGAUAAUCUCACCCGGCGGGGCCGGGGCAGCCAAGUAGUGCUCCCAGCUCAAUCCAAACUCUGGAAGCCGACCCUCACAAGGCAACGUGACAAACCCCGGGAAGUUUUGCCAGCAAAGCACUCCAAGGACGGAGUUGGGCCGGCGGACACUAUGAUGGUGGUCCCAACCCCUACAGCAUGACAAGGCCAACGCAUUAGAUAUUUGAAGAAACGUGAAUGCAGAAGGUACAAAAGGAUUAAAUGCACUUACCUGUCCCCAUCAGGGAAAAUCAACCACCUCUGCUCUCGGGUCGCCGACACGGACGGGAGCCGUGUACAACCACGCUGGUAGACGGUGCCCCCCUCAUCCUCAAUAUCAGUCGGCUCCCUGCCAUCAUCAGCAUGGCCACUCGGCCCCUCAGGCUCAUCCGGCCAGGUACCCAUCCAGACGUGUGCUCCUCCAGGGUCUCGUGGGCCGAAGGCGCGUCGACCCAAGGCUCAUGGGCCAAAGGCUCGUGGACCGGAGUCCGUGUAGCCUCCUCCUCGGACGAGUCCACCCUAGCAGUCACAUGCUCGGGUGAAACAGCUGGGGGUGGCGGCGAGGAAGGCGCCCUAGCAGUCACCCUACCUCCUCUCCCGCGACCACGUGCUCCAACUCCUCUCUUCUUCCCUCCCUUACCUCGUCCCCUGCUGGGCACCGCUGUCGACGUAGAAGUGCCCGGCGGUGUCGCCAUACUGUCCAGCAACGCUCGGCGGAGAGGUGCGUGUGGAAUGGAAGACCUCCCACCACGCGCCGACGAAGAAGGGGCCUCGGAGCGCUCCUGACCAGCGCCCACCAUCUUUCAACACCUGCCAUGACAAAGAGUAAACGAAAUUAGUACAACAUAAAAAAUACCGACAUGAAUAAUAAUAUGUAUAUCACCUAUGAGCCGACAUAAAUAAAAAAAUUGAAUAGCUGACACUACUAAUAAUCUCGAUCACUAUCAUCAAUAAAUGCAUAAUCAUCAUCAUCACUAUAAUCAAUGACGGGCUCAUAGGGUUCAGUAGCAUCUAAUAUAUGACCUAACUCAUAAUUCACAAAUAUAUGACCUCGUCGGCCUCUGGUGUCGUGGGUGUCGUGUCGGGGUCGGGGUGCCAUGUCGGGGGUCGGGGUGUUGNNNNNNNNNNNNNNNNNNNNNNNNNNNNNNNNNNNNNNNNNNNNNNNNNNNNNNNNNNNNNNNNNNNNNNNNNNNNNNNNNNNNNNNNNNNNNNNNNNNNNNNNNNNNNNNNNNNNNNNNNNNNNNNNNNNNNNNNNNNNNNNNNNNNNNNNNNNNNNNNNNNNNNNNNNNNNNNNNNNNNNNNNNNNNNNNNNNNNNNNNNNNNNNNNNNNNNNNNNNNNNNNNNNNNNNNNNNNNNNNNNNNNNNNNNNNNNNNNNNNNNNNNNNNNNNNNNNNNNNNNNNNNNNNNNNNNNNNNNNNNNNNNNNNNNNNNNNNNNNNNNNNNNNNNNNNNNNNNNNNNNNNNNNNNNNNNNNNNNNNNNNNNNNNNNNNNNNNNNNNNNNNNNNNNNNNNNNNNNNNNNNNNNNNNNNNNNNNNNNNNNNNNNNNNNNNNNNNNNNNNNNNNNNNNNNNNNNNNNNNNNNNNNNNNNNNNNNNNNNNNNNNNNNNNNNNNNNNNNNNNNNNNNNNNNNNNNNNNNNNNNNNNNNNNNNNNNNNNNNNNNNNNNNNNNNNNNNNNNNNNNNNNNNNNNNNNNNNNNNNNNNNNNNNNNNNNNNNNNNNNNNNNNNNNNNNNNNNNNNNNNNNNNNNNNNNNNNNNNNNNNNNNNNNNNNNNNNNNNNNNNNNNNNNNNNNNNNNNNNNNNNNNNNNNNNNNNNNNNNNNNNNNNNNNNNNNNNNNNNNNNNNNNNNNNNNNNNNNNNNNNNNNNNNNNNNNNNNNNNNNNNNNNNNNNNNNNNNNNNNNNNNNNNNNNNNNNNNNNNNNNNNNNNNNNNNNNNNNNNNNNNNNNNNNNNNNNNNNNNNNNNNNNNNNNNNNNNNNNNNNNNNNNNNNNNNNNNNNNNNNNNNNNNNNNNNNNNNNNNNNNNNNNNNNNNNNNNNNNNNNNNNNNNNNGGGUGGCGGCGGCGGGUGGUGGGGGUGGCGGCGGGUGGCUGGUGGCGGGGGCGGCGGCGGGUGGCGGUGGUCGUCGAGGUGGGGAGGACAGAAAGAGAGAGAGGGGGGAGGGAGCGGGGUGGGGGACGGCCGUCAGUUAGGUUAUCUCUUUGCCGUCCGCCCCCUUUGCCGUCCGCUUUUUUGCUCUUUGUCGUCUUCUAGCAGACGGCAAAGAGGGGGGCCGUUAGGUUUUUUUCUAAGCAGCUCGUUAGUGGGGCCCACCUCUCUCUUUUCCAUCCGCCAGCUGACGGCAAAGAUUCUUUGCCGUCCGCCAGCAGACGGCAAAGAAUUAGCUGAUGGCAAAGACAUUCUUUGCCAUCAGCCAGUUCUUUGCCGUCCGUUUUUUGCAAGCUGAUGGCAAAGACCUUCUUUGCCGUCCGCCAGCAGACAGCAAAGAAUAGGAAGACGGCAAAUAAGCAAAUUCCAGUAGUGCCGGUGCCACUAUGAUCGUCUACGUCACCGACGACCCUUCUUCACUACAAGAAAUAUGUCAACUGGUGACCUUCUGUCAGUGACCCUGGAAGAAUUGGUCAUAGAUCUACGACCAUUUGAGACCAAUUGGUCAAAAGUUGCUCGGGGGGCUCCAAACCCUCAACUAUAUCGACCAUUUUGGCCAUAAAGGUCGUAAUUUCCUUACACGAAAGUACACAACAGUGAUCCGCUGCCUUAUUUCUAGCUGAUCACGACAAAUAUAGAUGGUCAUAACCUUGUAAAUUGUGGUGGAUUGCUAUGACUAGUCGCCACCUCAUCAGUUUUGCCUAUGUGUCAUGUCCAUGUGUCAAUUUUUGCCCUAGGUUGUGAAGCAACCUAUAUUUCUGUCAUUCCCAAAAUUCCCAAAAAAAUUGGGCAUUGUUUACUAUCCAAAUCAUUGCCUCAUGACAAUAUUCAACUCCAUUUCCCUGGUAAAUCUUCCUCGGCAAAUUUCCAAAGUUUUUUAUUGAACUCGAACUGUUGUGAAGGAAGUACUAGCUAGGCAUAUCCUAAUGAGCUAAAUUUUUGCCACAUCUUCUAUAUUCCCAAGUCAUAGCUCUCCACAAAAUUUGAGCCCCAUCUAACCAUACAUGUGAGUGUGGCUUCAACAUUCAUAUUUCUGUCCGGUGUGGUACAUUGCAAAGCAAGUGACACCUAGGCUCCUCCAUUUUAGCUGCAAAUUUUCCAAGAUAGUGUCCUUAGUAGAUGAUCAUCCUCGGCCAAAACUCAGGCCCAUUGGCCAUGUGCAUUUCCCGUACCACUAAUCAAACACUUGGGUGCUAAUUCAUGUUUGAGCAUUGUUCGGUCUCCUCGUGAGAUUCUUAUGUUGUUAUUUUCUUCCAAGCAUCUACCUGGGGAGUGCCAAACCUACUAGACAUGCCUAGGCUUCCCAGAACGCAUGGCAACGCCAUGGUCACGCAGUGACCACGCGGCGGGCAUGCGAGUCUACGCGCUUUGGAGUUGGGGCUCUGGACCACCGUCCAAACCUCAACGUAUCACCACCAAACCAUGUAUUUAUGGUUAAAUAGAUACCUAUAUACCUAGAAAUGAUUUUUGGAAAAAAAUAAAGAGCAAACUAUAAGGCAGCCGCAGUUCAAGUUUGACCCGCUUCCUACUGAAUCGGCGGAAAUUUGUCUUUUCACUAGAGGUGGAUAAAAACUUUUUACACCCAAACAUUUUGUCAAUUGUGCAUUAAACAUGGCGUUGUAUUUUAUAAAAUUGAUUUGGUCCAUUUUUGCAACAAUUAUUUGGUAGUUCCUUCACAAAAAAACCUCAUUUCGGACACUCGAAAAAUGGAAAAUGAAUUUUCCGUGCAAAGAAAAUGAAAACUCCCUUAGGCAAAAUUGUUUGGAAUUCCAAGAUGCACCCUUGUGCACAAUAUGAGAUCAUUUGAAUGAACUAUUCCAUGAAUGUGGCCAUAAGAUUGAUCAUUUGGCUUGAAAGCCAUGAAUCUUCACGCAUGAUAACUCAUAUGAUGACAUAAUGCGAAGGUUUUCCAAUCAUUUGUCAUAUUACAAGUUUAUUAUUUUUCCUGGAAACUUGGUCACAUAUGAUGACACAAUGCGAAGGUUUUCCAAUUAUUUGUUUUUUUUGAAUUUUUUAUGCCCGUUUCAAAAUGCGGUCAAAACGGCGGGCUUGACCGUUCCUAGCUAGUUGUUGAAUCUUGGAAACCUUUUGAUGUUUCUCUGAUUAAAUAGAUAGUUAUGUACCAAAAAAUGAUUUUUGGAAAAAAUAAAGAGCAAACUAUGAGGUAGCUACAGUUCAAAUUUGACCCGCUUCCUACUGAAUCGGCGGAAAUUUGUCUUUUUCACCAGAGGUGGAUCAAGGCUUUUGACACCCAACCAUUGUGUCAAUUGUACAUUAAACAUGGCCUACUAUUUUAUAAAAUUUAUUUGGUCCAUUUUUACAACAAUUAUUUGGUAGUUCCUUCACAAAAAACCCUCAUUUCGGGCACUCGAAAAAUGUGAAAUGAAUUUUCCAUCCAAAGAAAAUGAAAACUUCCUUAGGCAACAUUGUUUGCCAUUCCAAUACUCACCCUUGUGCACAAUAUUAGAUCAUUUAAACAAACUAUGCCAUGAAUGUGGCCAUAAGAUUGAGCAUUUGGGUUGAAAGCCAUGAAUCUUCACACAUGAUAGGCCAUUUCUGAGAGCACUUUUCUAAAAUAAUUGUCAUAAUACAAGUUUAUUAUUUUUCCCGGUAACUUAGUCAGAUAUAAUGACACAAUGCGAAGGUUUUCCAAUAUUUUGAUUUUUUUUGAAUUUUUUAUGCACGUUUCAAACUGCGGUGAAAACGGCGGGCUUGACCGUUCCUAGCUAGUUGUUGAAUCUUGGAAACAUUUUGAUGUUUCUCUGAUUAAAUAGAUAGUUAUGUACUAAGAAAUGAUUUUUGGAAAAAAUAAAGAGCAAGCUAUGAGGCAGCUAUAGUUAAAAUUUGACCCGCUUCCUACUGAAUCGGCGGAAAUUUGUCCUUUUCACCAGAGGUGGAUCAAGGCUUUUGACACCCAACCAUUAUGUCAAUUGUGCAUUAAACAUGGCCUAGUAUUUUAUAAAAUUGAUUUGGUCCAUUUUUACAAUAAUUAUUUGGUAGUUCCUUCACAAAAAAACCCUCAUUUCGGGCCCUCGAAAAAUGGAAAAUGAAUUUUCCGUCCAAAGAAAAUGAAAACUUCCUUAGGCAACAUUGUUUGCCAUUCCAAUACGCACCCGUGUGCACAAUAUUAGAUCAUUUAAACAAACUAUGCCAUGAAUGCGGCCAUAAGAUUGAGCAUUUGGGUUGAAAGCCAUGAAUCUUCACACAUGAUAGGCCAUUUCUGAGAGCACUUUUCUAAAAUAAUUGUCAUAAUACAAGUUUAUUAUUUUUUCUGGUAACUUAGUCACAUAUAAUGACACAAUGCGAAGGUUUUCCAAUUUUUUGAAUUUUUUUUGAAUUUUUUAUGCACGUUUCAAACUGCGGUCAAAACGGCGGGAAUGACUGUUCCUAGCUAGUGGUUAAAUCUUGGAAUUUUUUUGGUGUUUCUCUGAUUAAAUAGAUACUUAAGUACCUAGAAAUGAUUUUUGGAAAAAAUAAAGAUCAAGCUAUGAGGCAGCUGCAGUUCAAAUUUGACCCGGUUCCAGCUGAAUCGGUGGAAAUUUGUCAUUUUCAUGAGAGGUGGAUCAACCUUUUGACACCCAACCAUUUGGUCAAUUGUGCAUUAAAUAUGUCCUAGUAUAUUAGAAAAUAGAUUUGGUACAAUUUUGCAACAAAUAUAUGGUAGGUCCUUCACAAAAAAAACUCACUUUGGGCACUUGAAAAAUGGGAAAUGAAUUUUUCGUGGAUAGAAAAAAAAACUUCCUUAGGCAACACUGUUUGCCAUUACAAAAUGCACCCCUGUGUAUAAUAUGAGAUCAUUUUUUGAAUUUUUCAUGUGAAAAAUUAGAAGAAAACAAAAGGAAAAACACAUUUAUAUGUGCUCUAUUCUCAUUGGUGGAAUUAGCUGUCACACGGAUCGAUGACAUGGCCCCCAUCCAUCCAUCCAUUCAUCUCUCCAUCCCACGUCCAUCCAUCCAUCUAUCUUCAGAAAAAAAAAAAAGGGUAACCCCCACCCCCACCCGCAGCCCGACCAACCAAACCCUAACUCCUCCCAUCUCUCCUCCCAUCGCACUCCUCCUUCCUCAUCUCCUCGCCGCCGCCACCUCCUCCCCGUCCUGCAGCGGCGCGUCCCGCCACCUCCUCCUCUCCGUCCCGCCACCACCUCCUCCUUCCUCGACGCGUCCCACAACGGCGCCCACCGCGUCGCCUGCCGGCCGCCCUCGCAGGUGGCUGCGUCCGCUAGCCCCACCGGCGACCUGCUACCCCAUCGCUGGCUUCUCCCUCACCCCUCUCUAACCCUAGCUUCCCGUCACCAGUGGCGGUGCCCUCAUUCCCUCGCGUUGCACCUGAACCUCCCUCCCGCUCCUAGCUUUUCUUCCUCCUCCUCCACCACUAGGGUUUCGUCUCCCCAAUCCCCAGUCCCCGAAGCUCGGAUCUAGCAGAAGCAGUGAUGGCGGCCGCGGGAGAUCCUCUCCAAGGUUCAGACCAAGCCCGCUGAUGGAGCUGCAGCCGCCGGAGGGGCCGACGCGUCGGAUGCGACCGCCGCCCCGUCCGCCCCCGCCGAGGACCUCAAGAUCUGGGAUGCGCGUCGGAUGCGCUUCCCCAACCACAACAACGACGACGCCGUGAGGUGAGCCCUAUACUGUACUAUAGCUGCUAGAGUAGGUUAUUCUUUUAAGCUGGAUCUGUGCAAGGUUGCGACGUUGGUUCUAUAUUUUCGUUGAUGGAGUAGAUGAAUUAUUUGUAUAGCUGUAGAUGCUGAGUAGAUGAUCUGGUGUACAUUUUGUGGUCUGGAAACAAAAUUACUAAGCAAGGUGAAGCCCUGAGCUUGACUUCAUCGAUGUGCUCUAUGUAUAUUUAUUUACUGCUAUAACAUGGAUAUAUAUUCAGCUUUAAUGUUAGUUGUAGUGCUAGCACGUCCAUAUGUGCAAGAAAAGGGUUAAGACAGAACUAUGCUUGCUAGUACUAUCUCUCUAAAACAUGUGCAAUUUGAAUCCCAACAAUCCAACCUGGUAGGGGCAGAUUUUGCCUUGUUAGAGUUGUAUUGCGAUUUAAUUUAGUGCUACAUGGUUUUAGAUUUCUUUGUUAACUUGAGCAGGAAAACUAAGUAAGAUGCGUAUUUGACACAUGGUAUAGGCAGGGACAGAAUGGCUUCUGAUGUGUUGUGCUUAUGUAUUAUGCUUGCAGCUGCUGACCUCUUCCUGGGCUUCGCAACCAACUUCCAGCAGGUCUACACGCUGGCGCAGUGCGACGUUUACUGCAGCAACUGCGUCACCCAGGCCGUGCAACGAAUCACGGUCGAGUGCGGCAGCGCCCCCUCCGGCCAGGUCUACCUCGACAAGUGCUACAUUACCUACAGCUACUACCCCCACUGUUUCAUGAAUGGUUCAUUACAGUAGUUCUUUCUGAAGUAAUUUCAGUGUUUCAUAGAUUAAGAUUACAGAUGUAUGUUCAUGAAUGAUGAGUAGUUUCAGUUAUUUCCCAACUUGAAAGAAACUGGAAUAGGCAGUAGUAGGACAAUGAGUCAUCCUGCACUAGUACAAGUACAUGAACAAGUAGUAUUAUACGAGUCAGUGUAAUACCUACGGUGUUGAUUUUGAAAUUUGAUGCUCUCUAAUGUUCCUAUAUUUCCAUUGAUCAGAAAUCUUUGCUAUAAGUUUCUUCGAAUUAAGCGCUUCUCCAUUCUCAGUACACCAGGAGAAACACGUAAUAGUUUUCAUGAUUGUUCACGUGCCCUCUGGAAUCUGUUAUUCCUUUAAUGAUUGCCCAUGUUAUUAUUAUAUCUUAUAUUAAAGGGAACUGUCCUUUUAACAUGUUUAUUAUUUCUUGUAGCCGCUGGCCUGGUCCUCCUCGAGGAGGAGGAGCAGGAGGGGCGCACCCAGCAUCAGGAGAGGAGAGGAGAGGGAGAUCCAUGGUGGCCGGCAGCGAGAUCCGCGCCGGGAUCGGGCCUGCUCGUCAAGGAGACCCAUGCCAUGGACUAGUAGCUCAAGCAGUCUUCUUUUCUUCCUGCCCAUCACCAUCUCCAGGUUGUCAUCCUCAAGGCCUCCACCAUCUGCAGGUCUUCUUCUUCCAUUCCAUUCUCUGCUCUGUUCUUCUCUGCUGCAGUGUCUACAGUGGAUGCAAAUACCUGAUUGUAUAUGGAUGGAUGGAUUGCAGGGUCUACAAUGCACCACCUUGAUUUGUUGAUUCGGUCUGGAGCAGCAGCAACAACAGCUCCUUCCUUCCAUGUAGAUGGAGGGCAUGACCUGCACAAGGAGCUCCAAGGAGACAAAGGUAUCUGCUCCCUUGCUGUACAUGUUUGUGGGUUCUCUGUGAUGAUGAAACCACUGAUUGGAUGUCCUGAUUAGAUACAAUGCAUUCCAUUGAACCGUGGGGACAACAUGAGUAAACUUUGAUGUUUUACUGUACAACUUUUGUGGGGUAAUAUAUGUACAGUGAGUGGAGGACAACAUGAGUAAACCGUGGGGACAAUAUAUGUGGGACAACGAAGGUUGUGGGGUAAUGCUUUUGUGAAUCAGUUUGCUAUUUGUAUCCAAGCUGAGUAAACUUUGAUGUGGUUACUGCAAAAGCUCUUGUUUUAUAUCUAACCGUACUAGGUAUGUUUUCAUGAAAUGUACAAAAGUGGCCUGGGAUCCCUCACAUUAAUCUGUACCAACCAUGUUUGAUCCGACGGCCCAGUAUCAAUUUUUCUAUUCUUCUACCACAAGCCCAAAUUCUACUCUAGUUCCUCCCUAUUAAUUCUCAGACCAAUGAUAAGAUGAUGAAAUUUCUUACUGCCUUCAAGGUCAACUGUGUUGCCACCUUUCUUGCUAGAAAAUCUUAUUUUUUUUAGGCAUAUAAAUUGGCCUGUGCAUUUGGCAGAUAUAGUAGUGUUUGUACUAACAGAUGGAGCACAAACAUUAUUUGUUAAGAGGGCCCUGCAGUUAUAUUUUGGCUGCCUUUUGCUCCUUCAUUUUUGUGUGUUUGAAAAUCAAUACAACUGACAUGCUUUACUUCUUCCAACAGGGAAUACCUUUCUAGGCUCCAAUCUUCACAGUUCUCGUUGAUUCAUCUUGCUAGCAACUGAGUAGCUUUUUUGCAUACUUCUGUCAACAGCUCAAUGCCACCAAAUCUUUUUUGCCGUUCUUCUCUAUUAUACAACAUCUGCUAUACAUCAUACAGUGCCGAGCUCCUCAUACACCAACCAUUGUACAAACAUAUCAUGAGUGGUAGGAAAAUUUUGAACCUGUAGUAUGUCACCUUGUUUUCUAGAUGGGCAAUAAACGUCGUCAUACUGUACUGUAAUAGUGUCUUACUGGGUUUCAAUUUGGUUUGCUUUGUACAAUGCUUGCACUGGAAAUGUUGAACUAUCGAGCCUCCUCUACUCUGUUCUGCUGUAUGAUUACAAUUGCAAUAGUAUUAUUGGAUCUGUUAAUCAGUGCCUACAUGUUAGAUCGGCUUGAUUUUGAGAUGCAGCGAGACUGAUGUUUCUGAAUUCUGAUGUGAAGGCAUGUCUACAUCAGUACAACUUUGCAUGCAUAUUUUAUUGACUAGAUAUAUACGUGUUGAUUGUAUGUUCCUCUAGUUUCCUGAUGUGCUUGUUUAUUUGGAUGCACUGAACCUUUGCAUGUAGUAAUAGUUCUCUGAUAUACAUGCAACCUGAUGGAACUUUCAUGCUCUGCCAUUGACCUACCAUGAAUAUAUAUUACUACAGCAGCCUGUUACUAUUACUACAUGCCAUCUUUUUAUUUUCAGUAGUGAUUUUGAUGCAACCUGAUGGAACUUUCAUGCUCUGCUGGUGAGAAUAAGAUGUUAUAGUCUAGAUAUAUGAUGCAAAGUAUGUUGUAUUUACACACUUGUAUCAAACUGCAGCAACCGCACAAGUGAGUUGAGGCAGGGGAUAGAGAGGUUGAGCCGCUCGGGUGCUAAUCUUGUACAGCUACGCUCUUUCCAGCGUCGACGCGACCAAACCAAUGAUGCAAGGCUUCUGCUGUUGCUGCUGCAUGUCUUCAUCAACUUAGUUGUUCCACAGGGAGAGAUAUAAAUCCUUCACUUGUUCACUUUGUAAUCUGCAGAUUACUUCUUCCAUUAAUCACCUAGUGCUCCUGUUAGUGAGAUUCAUCUAGUAUUUUUUUUUUGCAAAGCAUGCAAUGGUUUGGAGUAGUUGAUCAUGGCCUGAUGGAACCUCUAGCUGAACAAUAAGAUAGGUUAGUUAGUGUAUUAGAGCAAGAAAGAUGAUAUAUUUAUUAUUUGCUUUUGCUGCUUCUAUAUAUACAUGUAUGUAUGUUUAGUUAUUCGACAUGCUUUUGAAAUUGACUAUGGUUUUAGACCGAAACACUAUGCUUGUUCAAAGAGUGUCCAUGUUGUGUGAUAUAUGAUGCUGCUCCGUUGUGCAUCUCUCUUUUCUUGUGUGCCGCAUCAUUGUAGAUAUGCUUGAUAGAGUAAAUGAUUUCAGUUCUGGUUGUGUCAAAUCUUUACUAUGUACCAUGCUUAGUGUUUAUUUUACUGAGGCAUUGGGCAUUGGAAUUUAGGCAUUUAUGUAUAUUUUUAGUUCUGGAUGUGUCCAAUGCAAACAUUACUGUCAACUGUCAAGUUGAUUCUAAAAUGUCUUAUUAAGUUCAUUUCAGAUGGUUAUUUCUGGAUUUAGUACGAAUUUAUUGUUGACCUGGCCUAUGCUCUGUACCAAUUUAUUGCAUUAUUUUAUUAUUUAGUGUUAAAUAUGCUGUUAGAUUUACUUUUAUUUUGUUCCUAAACAUUUUGUUCUAUAACGUGCAGAUGCUGGCCUUUCAUGUUUCUUUGCGAAUAUCAGGACAAAGUAGUCGGAGGAAGCAUAGUUCUAGCUCAUUGGAGCUAAUUCUGAGAGUAAUUUGAUGUAGCAGAACUUGGCUCAUGUGAUUGUACACUUGUAGAGCUUGUUAUCUGAUUGUAUACUUGUAGAGCUUGUUAUAUGAUUGUAAUCUUGAUGCUGAUCACAUUUGUAUGUGUGUUAUAUGGUGUAGCACUUUGAUGGUUGAUAAUACUCGAAGUAUUUCCCGUAUUUUCUGCGCGCCAAUUUAAAUACUAGGUAUUUAUUUACAUUAAAUUAAAAAAUUGAAGAAUAUGGCCCUGAUAGCUAGGACCUAGUACCAGUACCGAACAAUGCGGACCCACUUGACUAGUGAACCCAUUUUAUAUAAAAAAUGAAACAGGCCACGACCCAAAAAUAAAAAGGCUGCAAUGUUGGGCUUGGCCAAGGAAGUCGACCAAAAAUUGACAGGAAAAAUAUAUAUAGGAAGGCUGAAUUGUUGGGCUCGGCCCAUGUAAAACACC
This 48758-nucleotide long non-coding RNA is filed under the name Triticum aestivum (bread wheat). Its description in RNAcentral is "long non-coding RNA (TAES_LNC000872)". The stretch from base 22307 to 22441 matches the Rfam family "MIR1120/MIR1122 microRNA precursor family". The record is from RNAcentral. Lineage: Eukaryota; Viridiplantae; Streptophyta; Magnoliopsida; Poales; Poaceae.